AGGAGGAGAGAAGAAGGGUGGGAUGUGAAGCCUAACAUAAUGAUGAGUGUAUGCUUUUUUUUUUUUUGUGGUGAUUAAGAAUGUGAUGAUGAUAAUUAAGGUUUUUGUUGUGGUUUAGGUUUUUUGUUUGUGUUUUUUCUUGCGGUUACCCCAGAGUUUUUGGGUUUGCAGGGAUAAACAGAGGAACAGAGUGGGUGGAAGAGGUAGAGAUAUUAUUGCUUUAUUAUUUGUUUGAUGAAAUAUGGUCGACAUUUCACAUAUUUACACACUUCAGCAACAAACAACAUACUUACUUGGAUGGGUAUUCGUUCGUAGGCCCUCUAUAUAGCCUUUGUCGCUUUUGAAACGAUUUCUUACCUAAAAUGCCCUUACCUCUUUCUUUUCAUUCUUCUGCUCCUCAAAUUCUUCUCACUUUAGACCUAUAUGUCAUUCUAACAUAACUACAUUUAUUCCAAAUUGAAUAUUAUUUUUAAUUUUUAACCUCAAUUUAUUUUUUCUUUUUAAAUUGUUACCAUCUAUAACACUUCCAUAGUAAAAAAUUAACUAAUAAUUAAUAAACAUAAUUUAGCAAAGUAAUUAUUAUUUUUCUUUUAAUUAAAGUUGAAAAAAUCAAUUGACUCGUCACAUUUAAAAUGACCAAUUUAAUAUCCUGACGAGUUAGAGUGGGUUAUGGAUCACAUGAACUAGCACAUGUGGUAUACACGGGUUUAAGAGGUUAGGUGUGAAUGAAAAAAUAGAUUUAAGGUUAGUUCAAUAUAAUCACUUCAUUUUAAACUCUAGAUAUUAAAACUCAAAAUUUUUAUAGUCAACAUCUUAGUCUCACUUAAUUAUCACAUCACCGGUAUGAUAAGUGUCUUGUUUCAUAAAAUUUUAUUCAAGUAUUGACAAAAAUAUUAAAAUUCUGAUAUAUAUACUUUUUAAAUAAAAUUUAAAAAUAAAAUCAACAUAAAGUUAAAGAAAAUGAACAUCUAAAUAAAAAAUAAUAGUUCAUCACCCGAAUUAAUCUACUCACAUGAUACAGAAAUUUGCACUAAUUGAAACCUACUUAAACCGCAAGGACAAAUACAUGUGUGUUUAACUGGGGCAAGAGUUGAAUAAUUUUGUUUUUGUCCAUCACUAAAAAUUAAGUAUUGUCCCUGUUAAAGAUAUAAAAUAAUUUUAUUUUUGAAGAAUUAGAUGCACAUUAAUAUGAGAGAUAAAUUUUUGAAUGAUUGUGUUUGGUUACUUACAAAAAAAUCAUUUGUUAGUGCUGAAAAUGAAAAAAUUAUAUUAUGAUCUUAAAAUAAAUUUAACUGCAUUUUUUAUUCUCUAUUUUAUCACACUCACAAAAUAAUUUCUCUAUUUUAAAAUGAAAUUUUAUGAUCUAUCAAUUAUUAUAUUUGUAAUAAUUUUGGUUUAAACCCAUAAUUUAUACCCAAAAUAAUAAUUUUAGCCAUAAAAUCGUAAAUUUUUUUAUUUUAAAAGUGAUUAUUUUUCUCUUUAAAAUUGUAAUUGGCACAGUGAGUCAUAAUUUUUGUAGUAAUCAACUUUUUGGUUUUUUUUACUAAUUAAACUUUUUGUUUAGUGAUAUAAUUAUUUUGACAUUUUAUCACUUACAUUUUAAUAUAUUUUUUAUAUCAAUAUUUAUAGUAUUUGAUAUUUCUUGUGAUUUUUAUAGUUGCUUCUAUUAAUCAAAUUGGUUGAAUUCAUCACUUCUAAACCGAUGUAAAAAUUAGAUGGAAUUCAAUUUGUAAAUUGCAUACUUUAUUUGAGAUGAUUUGAUAAAAUUGGAUUUGAGCAUGCUUAAAUCCAAUUAAAGUUUAGCUCUAUUUUCAAUCAUUGUAUUUUUUUGGACAAAAAUAUAUUUUAAUCAUUUAAGUUUACCUCAAUUUUUAUUUAGGUCUUUUUAAGUUUAUUUUUUCGAUUGGAUCCAUUAAGUUACAUUAGUUUGUACAAUUAGCCUUUAAGAUAAAUAAAAUUAUGCAUGCAGUUCUUCAAGUUUAAAUUUUUUUUCUAAUUAUUGUCAUGAAAUAUUAAGAUCUAAUCGAAACAUCACUAUAACUUGAUUGUCCAAACUAUUUUGCAUGUGAAGGAAGUUAAAAAAAUUGAUUAUAUAGAUAAAUCUUUAUUGCCUUAUUUUUAAGACUAUACAUGAAUUUAAAUUGCUGUAAAAAAGAAUACAAAAAUAUAUAUCAUUUAUAAAGUUUUGAUAAAUAUUUUCUGAAUGAUUAAUGUAAGAGACAUAUUAUUGCAUUAUUUGGUAAAAUUUCAAAUGAUAACAAGUUUUCAAUUGAAAUAGUUGUUACCAAAAUUAAUAUAAAAGAACAACGGUGUAAAUAUAAUAUAAAUUAAAGGACCAAAUAGAGAUACAAUAAACUUAUAAGUCCUAAACGAAAAUUAAAUUAAAUCUUAAUAACUAUAAAUGUAUUUUUACUUCUUUCUUAUUAUAUAUAUAUAUAUAUAUAUAUAUAUAUAUAUAUAUAUAUAUAUAAAUAUAUAUAUAUUUUUAUUUUUUUCUUUUUAUAUAUAUAUAUAUAUAUAUAUAUAUAUAUAUAUAUAUAUAGUUUAAAUAACACUCAUUCUUAAAUACAGGAAGUAUAUAUGUCGACUCUUUAACGAGUUUUUUUAUGUUUUGACACUUGUCCUCUUCUUGCUAUCACUACAAUAUUUUUUCCGGGUAUAAUAUUGAAUUCAAUGCAAUGGACUUGGAGUUGCAUUUUCCCGUCGUGUGUUCCACUAUAAAAUAGAAUUGUUUGUUUCCACGUGUUAUUUGCUUAUUUUCAUUUUAAUAUAAAUAAAAAAUAAACAAGUAGUCUAUUAUUCAUGUCUUAUAAUAAAUAACUUUAUUGAUACAAGCAUUUUAAAUAAACGUAAAAAUAAAUUAAAGGAAUUGUACUUUUAUUAUAUUAUUUUUAUUAUUACUGUUAAUGUAAAGUGGGAAAACGUGAAUUGAGAGUGAUGUAUAUAAUAUUAAUUAGAUGAUAUAACUAAAAGAAAGUAAUUAAUAUGACAUUGAAAAUGAAAAAUAGUAAUUUGUUUUGGGACAAAUUCUUUGGAAAAAUAGAUCAAUCUUUAUGAGAUGGUGAAAUUAAAUGAUACUGGGUGUUUGUUUUGUGGAUGUGAAAUUCGCUUUCAAGAAUAAUUUAAAAAAAAAAGAAUAAAAGUCCUAUUUUUGGGUACUUUUUAGAAAUCAUGUUUGAUUAAUAUUUGUGUUGGGUGGGACUCUACCAAAAAAUAAUUGGACUAGAGUGCUAAAUGGAUCUUAAUUAACGGCCUCAUAGAUCCACUAGCGACGAUGCAUGACAACUCUAUGGACUUACGUCCCAGCCAAAUAUAACUCCAUGACAAAUCUUUGUCAUUUCAUCGACAUCACACAACAAUACGAGAAUUCCAUGACAACAAUAUGAGAAUUCCAUGAGGGUUUCACAAUUGCCUAAUGAAAAUCCAUGUGUUUUAGAGGAUGUUAAGCAUUUCAAAACAAGAGUGAAUUAUAAAAUAUACAUUAAAAUAUUGAUACAUUCAAUAACAUUACUAAGAUGUUUUACCUAGAACAAAACAUAAAGACUAGAUGGAGAAGAGGCAUAACAAAUGCAAUGAGUUAACCAGAUGAUAAAUGAAAAUGAUGCAUGAAUGAUAUUUUAUUACUUUUUCCCCUUAUUUUUUCUUUACUAUGUCUUCAACAAAAAGGAUAAAGGAAAAAAAAUAGAUAAGAGAAAGGCUAAUUAAAUGAAAAUGAAGAAGCUCAAGUUACUUACCUAUUAAAGUAUUACACCUAACUAUACUAGGUAUAACUCUACUAUAGUUACUUACUAAAGAAUCCAAGUUACUUUAUUGAUUUAUACUAAGAACUACUCUAGCUACUAUAAAACUAUUCUACUACUCUUAACAACUCUAGUUACUGUUUUUGACUAGACUCAGACCCAAUACGCAACAACCAUUGGGCCUUAGCUCAAUCCAGUGAAGGUCGAACUUAAGGUGUGUUAUAUCACCAAAAUCGUUUGAGGCGCCGAAUUCGCGCCAUAUCCAUCAGGACCGUUGAUCAUCAAUCAAUCGGCUGCCUGCAUUUUGCGUCGGUUUCCCUGCUUGACCAGAUUUGGCAUCCCUCAAGAUGUGGUCAAUGACAAUGACACACGAUUUUACGGAUAAAGCUUUACGUACAAUCCUUCAAGAGUUGCAUGUCAAACACCAUUUUGCCUCUAUCAAGCACCCUCAAACUAAUGGGCAAGCAGAAGUGAUGAUAAAGUCAUACUCUGGAGACUCCAUAGAAAACUAGAUGACAUCAAAGGAAACUUAAUAGAAGUGAUGUGGAACGUCCUAUGGGUUUAUCAAAACAUGCCCCCUCACCACAAUAGGAGAGUCUCCGUUCCGACUAAAAUAUGGUUCAAAAGUAGUAGUUUCAGUCAACACAAUAUGAGGAGAAUGCUCAAAUUCUUAAAGAGGAGUUGGAAUUGCUAGAUGAAGCAGGAUGAUUAGCCUCCUUGAAUGAGGCUGCCAUGAAAAGGCACAUAGCUAUGAGGCCCAACCGAGAGGUCAUUCGCAAAAACUUUGAAGUGGGAGAUCUCGUGUUACACCUGACCAGUGGCAGAUCUUGCACAAAAUAUUGGGGAGAAUGACAAAUAUAAACUAAAUUAUUAUAAUUAAAAUUCAUAAAAGUCAUAUAGUUUUAUCAAAGGUUUAACAUAACACCAAUAAAAAUAAAAAUAUAAAUGUGAAAAGAGAUAUUUACAUCAAAUUAAAGUUGUGCCAUUUGUUCUCCUAAAGCCUUGAAAUCAUCGAUAGUUGAAUCAAAACUAAAGUUUUUAACUAUUUAUUUUUCAAUAUAAAACACCAUAUUGCCAACAAGAAAUUCAUCCUCCAUCUUGUUACGCAGUCUUGUCUUAAUAAUUUUCAUUGCUGAAAAUGAUCUUUUUGUAGUAGCUAGAGAAACCAGAAUAGUUAAUAAUAUGUAUUUUCCUUUGCUGUUUUUUUGAGAGCUUCACACACAUAGUCGACAAGUUAUUCAAAUAUGGAUGACUAAAAAAUCAGGAAUAAAUUGUUUCAAUUGAAAUCUCAAAUUAACUUUCUGUUGAUAAUUAAAAUCCAGAGGAUAAAAUUUGGUUACAAGAGCACAUAUAUUGUCCAUAGCAUAUGCUUUGUAAAUAUCUUUAGGAAUCAAACUAUUGGUUAGACUCAAAAGCUCCAUAUCAAUUUUCAUCUUUGUCAAAAACUUUUUUCUUGACAAUGCAUCAAUUUUUUUAUGGUUAAACAUCGUGUCACUCUCAAAAAAAUACACAAAUUAAUCAAAAUAGUUCAUAAAUUAACUAAAACAAUUCACAAUUAAUAAAUAAUAUCACACCAUAUCAUAAAUCAAUUGUUAACAUGUAAAAAUUUGUUAUAGUUUGUUAAUAUGUUGUCAUUGGAUUGUUAAUUAGGGUGUUAGAGUUUAUCUGUAUAUCGAUAUUAGUUAAUUUAUCAUUCGAUAUUAGGUAGUUUAUCUGUAUAUAGAACUCAUCAUAUCAAUUUUAUUAUGUUUUAUUAGCAUAAAUUCUAAUAAAUGUCUACUUAAUUCCCCGUUUAUCUCUUCAAUCACGUAAUUUCAAAUAUGAUAUCGACAACUUGUUUGUGAUUUAAGAACAAUUGAAUAAUCUACUUUACAUUGUGGUAAAGAUGAUAAGAAGAAGAUUAUUAUCGACAAGAACCAUUGAUAUUUGUUUUUCACUCUAUUUAUAAAGAAAAAUUACGUAAGUAGAAGAGGAAAAAAAAUAAAACUAAAAAUUAUAAGAAGCAAAUUGAGAUAGUAUGAGGAUCAAGACCAAGAAGUGACGCUUAAGGCCGGUCGCGGCUGGCCACUUCAACUGAGAGGGAUAUAAAUAUGAGCAUAGAGAAAUAAGGGAGAGGCGAUGUCAUAUUCUCAAAAUCCAAAAGGUUUGGAGGGAUAUUUUAGUAACUUAUCACUAUUAUUUUCAUAAUAUAUCAUUAUUAUUUAUUAAAAAAAAAUAUAAAUAUAGGGGAUGCCGUGACCUCUUUCUGCUCUAAAGAAAAUACACCAUUGCAUCUGACCCAUAUUGAAUUGAAGAUUGCCGAUCAAGGCAAGCUUGCCCCAAAUCGGGAGGGUCCUUAUCAUUUGAUUGUCAAGACAGAAAAUAAAGCAUACAUCCUGGAAACACUACUCGACAAAGCAAUCCCCUGGACAUGGAACGUCAAUACACUAAAAAAUGUACUACAAUUGAAUAUUCAAAAAGCCACAUGUGGCCAACUUAAAUGCUUGUAAGAAAUCUUUUUCCAAAGUUAUAAAUAAUAUUAAUGUGAGCAUUUCAAAUAUAUAUUAACGCGAUCAUCAUUGGUCGAGGCACAAUCCUUCAAAUUAAUGACUCAGGUGACAUGCCACAUUGAAAGCAUCCCUACAUCAUUCUAGAAGGGAAGCGCAUGUGGCACCUCCUAUCAUGCACACCCCGCAUAUCCGAUUAACCAUCAAAUUGUGGCGGGUUCUAUCACAAUUGUUUUCCCCAAUCUGAGCACAUGCUAAAGAGCAGGGAAAGAUAGGGAAAACCUUGGUCAGAGACCCCUAGCAACGAACUUGAACAAUGUUGCUCGAACUACUUCACGCCUUGUUGUUUGAGGACUAGCACAUUCAAUUAUAUCAAGAGUAUACAAGUCAAAAUUACGAUUAAUAUUUGUGACUUCGAAUUAUCGUUUCAAGCUACUGAUAAUAUAAGCACAAAAUCAAGUUCAACAAAAAGGACAACAUUAAUAACAAAGUCUUAUUGAUAAUGUCAUGAUUGUGUCGAACGUAAUUUAUACAAGAUAGAGGAAACAAACAAACUACUAUAGUCUGCCAUCCUCGAGCACUUUGCCGCAAUCAAGUUCAUCCAAAGCAAGGUUAAGACCGAAGUCAGAGUUGAAGACUUAGUGAAUUGCUUUUUGGAAUGACUCUGUGACCAAGCUAUCUAUAUUCUCCAAUAAUUCCAUAAUCUCCUUCAUUGCGACCUCUUUUUGCUUUGCCAAUUGAGCCCUCAAAUCCUCGACUUCCUUCUCCAAAGUUGAGAUCCGAGUAAUCAAGUUCUUCUUCAACUCCUCCAUCUACCUCCUCACCUCAUUCAUCUUGUCUUAAGACUCCCCAAGUUGAGCCUUUAGGAUAACAUUCUCCCCAGCAACAUAUGCCUUCUUCUCAUUGGCUUUCUUCGCCAGUACACUUGAAGCUUGAGUCUUAUCUUCUGCCUUUUCAAGAUUACAUUGCAGGUCAUCUGUCACCUUGAGGUUUUUCUCAUAGCCCUCCAUGGGUAAUCUCAAGUUGACAAAUGGGGGCCUCCACCUUCACCUUUUUCGCAUGAAGCACAAAGCUAUCAAAAUCCAUGGCCUAUUCUAUAACAUGGGCAAUGGAGGCCACAACACUGAUCCUUAGAGUAGUAAGUUUUAAACCAAUAGAGCUCGUUGGUUGAUAGGGCCUUUAUGAGACAAGAAAUCCUUGUUAGUGGGAUCCAUCAUGGUCCCUAGUACACUAGGAAAUGAGGGAAAAAUACUUGCCCACUCCCUCGACAACCUCACAACCCUAGCAGUCAAUGAUGGCAUAUGGGGUCUUGCAUUUUAGCAGGACUUUUGACGUUGAUCCAUCAAUGUUAGAUAUAUAUUUUAUUGUCAUUCUCCACCUGGUAGGUCCAGUUAUUGAACUUAUUGAUGUAUUCCUACAUAAGUUUCAAUGUGGCGAUGUCGAUUGGCCGCAAAUCCUUUUUUUAAGGUAAUUUCAUAUUGUUGUUUUUAAAGUGACAUGGAGACCAAUACUUUGGGAACCGACCAACACAAUUAGUGUCCUCGUAAGCACUCUCAGUCCUCAACAUUUCCUUACUUCGUUACAAAAUGAUAAUGGUUUGCUUAAGUGUUUGUGUGCGUCUAGAGUUUAGGGACAGAUAGUAUGGAACUUGUCUUUGAAUUUUUUGAAGGAGUCAGUGUAUGUCUCAAAGAUCUUCUUAGUUUCUUAUUUGAAAGUAAUCAACCCUUAUAGGUAGCAAAAAUUUCGACUCAAACUCCAAAUGCUCGCACAAAUACUAGUAAGCCUAGAGGGCCACAUCAAGAUGGUUCAAUACGAACACCUCAUACUUAGUAAAGGGAAGACAUAUUUGUUGAGGUAAAACCCUUUUUGAUGUAUGUUUUAAUGAGAACAAACCUUAUGAAAUAAGUGACUAAGUUUUAUGAAUGGUGGUCUACUAAUGAUUACACCCGAGUUUUGUUUAAGGAACAUGAAUUGCAUAAGUGAUCAAGCAAGAAGUCAUUCACUUCAUAAAAGUGCAUAAGUAUCCACUCAAUAAUGAGAAAAUCUCAAAAGAAAUGUAUCAUAUAUCAAUCAUUCAAGAGAAUGAUUAUUACAUCUUCAAGAUAGAAUCUUCAUGAAGAAGAUGAUCAAAUACAUUCAUACAACAAUCAAUGAUUACACUAUGCUAUAAAUCAGAAGCAAGAUCAUUUGAAAUAAGCAAGAUCAAAUAUGACAAACGAAGAAUGUUCUGGUUAUUAAAAAAAAAAAAAAACGAAGAACAUUAUUGACAACAUUCUAAAAAACGAAGAUCAUUAUAGACUGCAAUAUGAAAAACAAAGAUCAUUUUGGAUGUAAGACCCAUUAUCAUUUGUCUAGAAUAUGAAAAUUUGGCCCAUACACCUUAAUAAAACAGAGGUAAUUAACAAUAAAUAAUAAAUUAGAAUCACCAUCAUAACUGAAAACUACAUUCAUAAAUAUAGUUUAUAACUUGUUUAGUAAAUUCAUAAAAUAUUACAUCUUGAAAACAACUACUAUUAAUUGAUUACAUCAUAAAACAAAAUAUUAAAUUCUAAUUCCACGAGUUUGGAACUAAUCUUCUGAUGCUAAUUUCAUGUCUCAUGUUCCUCCAGCUGCUAAAUAAAAAUAAUAAUAAUAAUUGGGGUGAGAUAAAAUAUCUCAGUGAGCUAUAAAAAUAAAAGGAAAAAACAAUCUCAAUGAAUUUCUUUCAUAAAAGUGUAUAAAACGUGAAAAAAUAAUUAUACAUGUAUAUAUAUAUGUUGUGAAAAACAUAUGCAUGACUUGAAAUCUUUUCCUUUGGAAUAAGGAAAAGUCGUCCAAUAUCUUAAUGUGGGUCACUAAGAUAAUUGAGUCCUGAUUGGUAAAGGUGGUCUGGCCAAACCCCAAUCAGCGUCCUGAUUGUUCUCCUUUACCUGUUAUUCCAUGCUUGAAAUAACCUAAAUGUCCCACCGUGAAUAAGGCCAUGCAUGCUCUGAUUAAUGGUAUUGUACAAAACUUACAUGUUUUGUAUGAAAUGCACUUAUUAUGUCAUAUAUAAAACGCAUCAUUCAUCCACAACAAUUAUCAAUAAAUUAGGUGAUAUACUAAACUCAUAAUAAUUUAAUCUUAAGUCCUUAAUUCAAAACGUAAAUUCAUAGUCAAAAAAUAGAAACAAUAUUGGAGUCAUGAAAAUAGUAACAACUUCAUAACAAUUAAUAACUCAAACAGAAUAAAAGUUAUAUAUAUAUACAUAUAUAAAUAAUGAAGCAAUUCAAAUUUCUUAAGAAUUUUAUUCAUUUUUGCAAAUCACACAGUAGAAUAUUUUCAGUACAAUGGUCACUAAUAAUUAUUGAUGAAAGGUCAAAUUACUUUAGAAAAUUCCAAAAAUUUACUUGAAAGCUAACUCAAUUAAGAACAUAAUGCAAUUGAUCCCAUCUCAAAAUUGGAAACCUAUAAUUUAGGAAAAAUCAUGGACUAAGACUAAUUUACACACGCUGCAGAAAGUCUCCAUCACAAAAGUCAUUAAUAAUUAUUGAAAAAUGGUCGAAUGACAAUAGAAAAUUUUGAAACUUUUACUGAAAGUAGAUAACUCACCUAUAAACACAACAUAGUUGGUCUCAUCUCAAAAUUCGAAAUCAACAAUUCAUGAAAAAUCUGAUUCUAAGACUUGUUUACAUAGUUUUGUUUUUAUUUAGAAAACCAAACUUAAAUACAACAAUUCUCCUGCAAUAGUUCUCGCAGUAUUUUCAUCAAACACCUCUCAUGCAAUGAAUAUUUGGGAUAAAAAUAGAAUUUUCUCUCCACUAGUAAAUAAAACCAUAUAUUUUAAAUGCGUACACCUAAAAUCAUCAUUCUAACCGAAAUUAACGUAACAUAACACAAUUUCACAAACACAUAUCAGAGGCAACAACAGCAGUAACGAGCAUAAAUCGUGCUCGACAAGCAUAAUCACUUUAAAUCUAGUGAUACACAUAUAAUUAAAAUUUUCCUAAUACAUAAUUCAUUCACAAACAUCACAACCAUAAACAACAGCCUACAUUCUAACUUAUUUUCAACAACUUCAGAAAAUGAAAUCCCUAAUCAUAACAACAACAACAACAACAACAACAACAAAAAACCCUUUAAUAAAAAGAACUCACCGUUGGUGAUAAAGGAGAAGACAAUGUUCCGAUUAAAUUGGUAGCUGAACUCCCCUUUUGCCUGAAUUGCCACUUUGACUCUUCUUCGUUUGUUGGUUAAUAUCCUUUGCUGCUUUGAUUGAAACCGAUUAGUAGUUACAAAUUGAGACAUGCAAGGUUUAAAAAUAGGUUUAAGGAGCUUUGUCAAGCUUUUGGGUUUGACUGAUUUAAAAAAUGAAGGAAAAUGAGAGGUUGAAGAUUGGGAGGAUGGGUGCUUAGGUAACGAAGAAGAAGAAGGAAUGGGAAUGUGGGUUUCUGAAAAUGGUAGAGAGAUAUUGGAGGGAUAGUGUGAAAACUACGUCAUUGCCCUUCGUUUGUCCAAAUAUUACAAUAAUGUUUUUUUUUCAACGUAUAAACUAGUUAUUUUAUUUUUAAAUUAACAGUUUUAAUAAUUAACAGGUUGUUACACUGGACAACAAUAUGAAAAACAAAGAUCAAUUUGGACAGAAGUCUGAAAAAUGAAGAAUGUUUUGAUUUUGACAAAAUUAAUCCAAGAACAUUUUGGUUUACAAAUAAUAAAGUCUUCUUUAAUUCAAGAUCGAUAUGAGCUACGAAAAUACAUCAAUCUACAUUGAAAGUCACCAGUAUUCAUUACAAAGGAACAUAUUUAUAUACUGAGGAUCAUUUUGGGCAGAUUCUUUCCAUAUGAUUAGCAAAAAAGCAAAGCAAUGCAUCAAAAAUAAAAAGGAAGACUAAUCCCCAAAGUUGAUGGCUAAAGUUUGCAAAUGCAAACUGGACAAAAAUGAUAAAGUCACUGCAUCACUGACACACAUACAGAAAAGCUUGGCACGCAACAAUUUUUAGAAGUUCAAAAUCCAACAAAUCACGCAAAACAGAAACGAAGAACGUUUUUCAUUUUGACAUCUUUAAUCCAAGAACAUUAUGGUUUUACAAAAGAACAUUGUGGUUAUUCUCUUUUAAAGACAUAAUUAAAAUAUAUCAUUUUCUAUAGUCCAAACCACAAUUUAAAGAUAUCAAGAAUGCUUUAAUCAAUGGUGAAACUCAUAACUCGAGCUAAAUGCCCAAAUGAAGAAAACAACCUCAAGAUUGAUCUCCAAAUUGAUGAGUUGUGAGAAAAAAAACACAAGUACAUUGUACUUACAAUAUUCUAUAGAAAGCUCUGCUUAAUUCUGAUAUGGAAACAAUAACAAAACAUACAUUUGACAGCUCACUCACUCAUUCAUUCACGUUUCCCAUCAAGCCCAAAAGCAAGAACGUUCUUCGAUUUUCAAGAACGUUUCUAGACAACCAUAUAAACACAUGUUUAGUUGCUUUAAAAUAUAUCUAACACUUGGGAAGUGUGCCCAAUGACUAUAUUCAUUUUAAAAUGAAUAUUCAAAGUCUUUUAUCAUCAAUAAAUGGCAGAUCAAUAGGAAGAUGAAGGCAAUAAUUCAAUUUAUAAAUCUACCAACACUUGUUCAAGUAAGAACAAGUCAAAAACUCUUUAAGCAAAAUCCAGCUCUCUUCACUAUAUUUGUUGAUUAUUAUUCACUGAGUUUGUCUUUCAUUUAUCUCAAACAAGCGUUGAAAAGUUUCUAGAUCCCAAACACUUUUAUCAUACACAUCAUUUGUAACUCAAGUCUAUCUUUUAUGUUAGAUUGCAUGUGUUUGUAAAAAUCCUUUCAAGGCUAAAAGGUGAUUGUAAAAAUACUUUCUACGUUGAAAGGUGAAGAUUGUAAUUGAUUCAGGUGUGAUCAAAAGAAAAGGUGUGAAGGAGAACAUUCUUGGUUCUGAAGCACAUAGUAAAAAUCUCACGGUUGUGAGGACUGGACUAGCUCGAGUUGGGUGAACUAGGAUAUAUUGUUGUGUGAAUUCUCUUUCCUUUGUCUCCAUUUAUUUAUCAGUCACUUGAAACUGAUCACAUCGUGAAGUUUUUAUUGUUAUAUUACUAACCAAGAAUGUUCUACGUUUUCUAUUUUCAUAACCAAGAAUGUUCUUUGUUUUCUGUUUUCACAACCAAGAUCAAUCUUGAGUUAAAAUCUUUCAGUUUUAACCAAGAAUGUUCUCUGUUUUUUGUUUUACAAUUCAAUAUUAUCAUGCCCCUAAAGGCCUUAAUACAUAGGAACAUUGCAAGCAUUAUAUUUGUUACAUAUUUGGGCACUCGCGUCAGGGACACAGACAACCCAAUCUUUGAAGGGAAAAUGGCUUUUAUAACCUUCUUCUUAGUUUGGAGUUUGAAAGUAGAAGAAGUGUUAAUCACCUCAUCUAUGACACAAGAGUAAUCUUUCAAAUCGGAUGGCAUUUUGUAUUCCUUAACCAUUUAAUUUUCCCUGCACAUAUUAUAAGAAGGGAAAUAAGAUUGAUACUUAUCAGCCUCUACAAGCCACCACACAAUCUUCUAACGCAUAAAUGGACACUAAUAUUAGGGAUAUAAAACUUCCUUAAAGACAAACACUUGUCGCAGAUUAGCUCGAACACCCCAUAUGAAACCAUCAACCAUCGUUUUAGAGGGGUUAGGAGAUACCAAAACGAUGGACAUGUUUGACUCUCCUCCACUUUUAUAGGGGAAGAAUGCAAUGUGUCAUUACCAGAGGGGCUCUCUACAUUUGUGUCAUUUAAAAUGGAUGUUUUUUAGAUUUCGUGGAGUACAUGCACAAAUAAAAAAUACAAAAAAAAAAAAAAAAGCAGACUUGGCAAACCUAAAUAAGAAAAUAUUGAAGGUUGAAACUUGAUGACAAUUUGAGUAGCACAAGGAUGGAACUUCACUAUAACACUCGUUUCAAUAAAGGAACAAUAACGGUGUUACUAGAGUUUGAUAGGGAAGAAAAUAAGAAGAAAUAUACAAAGGAACAAGAUGAACCUUGGCAAAACACAAACGACUAGGAUGGACCUUGGGAAAAUGUGCAAUCCCCAUAUUACCUAAUGGUGAUCAUUACUUACUAAAACCUAGCCACAUGACAUACUAGAGGAAAAAAAUGUUGAGACAAACAUUUCACACACCCCAUGCAUUUUCCUUUUAAUCACUUCGCUAACUUCACAACUUUUCAAAAUUUCUCGUGCCUCAAAAGUGACAUCAUUUGCUGAUAAGAACACGUCACAUAAAGGCGACACGACUUAACAAUGAGCACAAGAAUUUCAUACGAAUGGAUUUCCUCGGUCCUAACUUACACCCGAGCACUUGUUCCAACGAUAACAAAUGAUGUCCAUUUGUCCUAGUAGUAACAAAGGACAAACAUCUGCCCCAACACCAACAAAUGAGUGACAGACAACUCAAUUUUCUAUUUCAGACAUCUAAACUAGAGCCUUGGGGGCGACUAUUCUAGAACAUACUCAGGAAAAAUACGCGACACCCGUUAGGCCUUAGCCCAAUCUUGUGAAGGCUAACCUCAAGGCAUGUUAUAUCACUGGACUCGUUUGAGGCGCCAAAUUCGCGCCUAGUCCUUUAGGACCGUUGAUCAUUAAUCAACUAGCAGCACAUGUUUCGUGCCAGAUUUCCUGCACCAAAAUAAUCAACUAUUGACUUGAGCAUUGAAGGGCUUGUAGGUACCUAAUAAACUAAAAUUUAGUGCAUUUUUAGGAUUAUUAUGAGCAGUUUUAAAAGCAAUUAUAUGUUAUAUAUAAACUUCUAAUUUAAUUUGCUCUUUAUUAUGCAGUAAAGAUUAAAAAAAUACAAAUUUAAUGUGUAAAUCACUUAAGAUCAAAAUUACAAUUAAGCAUAUAUAUAUAUAUAUAUUAUUUACAUUUUUUUUUAAACUAUUUAUUAUAAUAUAUUAUAGAUUGAUGAAGGAUUGGCAGAAGAUGGAAAGAUAUAUUUUUUUGUUAUUUAGUUUGUUGCUUAAGUUAAGAUUUGCUCUAUCAUAUAAGGAGGAAACAAAGAAUGAAAAGUGGGAGGCGCACAACAUCAUAGAAAAAUUUAGAAACCGACUUUACGUGGGAGUUUGAGAGAAAAAGAAAAUAUACAUUUAGAAAUUUUUGAGUGGUUGGAGUUGGAGAAAAACAUCUUAAAUUUAGGAGCAAAAGUUCAUCUUUUAAAGUUUUAUUUUUGAUCUCUUAGUUUGAUGAACACUAUUAUUAUUUGCUUUAUUUUCUAUAUGUAAUGAGUAACUAAAAUCUCUUAUAGAGACUUUGGUGAAUCUUGUGAUUGAGAUACCUUUUAAUUAUAUAUGUCUUAGUUUUAAGUCUAGUUUUAUUUUGAAUUCUUCUAGGGUCUUCUAUGCACCAACAAUAACUCCGUACCCUUAUUAUCCUUAGACCUUAGAUGCCCACCAAUAGUUCUCCAUGCUCGCCCACGACCCCUCCCACAGUGAACCUUGUUAAAUAGACAAUAGUUAGAAAUGGUUCUGCUGACUUAUCUUCUGCUCUGAUUUACCAAAACGGUGGGAUCGUAACGAUCACAAUGGACAUUCCAUAUCCCCAAAUACCGGUUAGACAAAACUUAUCUUCUUGUGGAGCCUAAAUGUUAUAAGUCGAUUUCCAUUAAACAAGUCUUGCCAAGCAUGAAAUAACAAUAAUCCUUGUCGGGGUUCAAGCAACAGAACAACCUUGUGUGCCCUAUAAACUCGACAGUGUUCUUAACUUUGCUCAUGCGAGCCUAUAUGUUCUAUCAUGUCAUGGUCAUAUCAACCCUAAGCAGUAGUAUAUUCAUAUUUAUAUCAUUCAUCAUCUCUCGAACAAUGUUAAGAUCAAUCCUAUAAUAAACUAUGUAAGACCGGGUAACCUCAUUAAUAACCAUAUGAGUCACUAAUGAGUGUUAGCAUCACACUUAAUUUCAAAAAGGAGGGUCCAAUUGGGUGGCUGAAUUAUGGGAGUAGAGAUCAGUGAUGCCUUUAAGAAAUCAAACACCUUCUUGCAUUUGUCAUCAAAGAUGAAACUGACAUCUUUUUGCAGCAAAUUUGACAGCAGAAGAGCUAUCUUGCUGAAAUCCUUGAUAAAGCACCUGUAAAAACCUGCAUGGCAAAGAAAAGAACGAAUCUCGCAGUUGCAAGAUGGGUAAGGAAAAUUAGAAAUCACAUCAAUCUUGGCAGGAUCCACUUCAAUCCUAUUAUUAGAGAUCACAUGUCCCAAAACUAUGCCUUGUUCAACCAUAAAAUGACAUUUUUCAUAAUUCAGCACAAAGUUAGUUUAAAUACAUCUAUGCAAAACUCUAUCUAAAUUGUUUAAGCAUGCAUCAAAUGAGGAACCAUACAUAGUAAUAUCAUCCAUGGAAACUUCAAUACAAUUUUCUUUCAAGUUAGAGAAAAUACUAAUCAUGCAGCAUUGGAAAGUGCCAGGAGCAUUGCAUAGGCCAAACCACAACCUCCUAUAGGCGAAUGUGCCUAAAGGGCAGGUGAAUAUGGUCUUUUCUUGGUCCUCUGGUGCAAUAUGGAUUUGAAAAUAACAAGAAAAACCAUCAAGAAAACAAUAAUGUGACUUACCAACCAACCGUUCAAGCAUCUGAUCAAUGAAUGGUAAAGGAAAAUGAUCAUUUCUAGCUGUCUGGUUUUGCCUCCUGUAAUUGAUACAUACCCUCCAGCUAUUCUGCACCGUGUGGAGAUAAGUUUAUUAUUUCCAAAAUGCUUCUAUCCAUAGGUAGCAAGCCUUCAUAAAAAUAUUGGAUGAGAAAUUGUUCAGAAAUCUGGUGAUGAGGACAACUUGACACUAAUUUCUUGAAUCUCUCAUAAUACUCAUGUAAUGAUUCCCUGUCAAUAUGCCUAAUGCCACAUAUUUCUUUUCUGAUUGAAGCAGGUCUUGAGGCAAGGAAGAAUUUUUCUAGAAACAAUUUCUUGAGAUCAUUCUAACUUGUAACAAAACCUGGUUGAAGGUAGUAUAACUAGUCCUUGGCAGCAUCUUGGAGUGAAAAUGGGAAGGCUUACAGCUUAAUAUGGUCUUUUGUGAAUCCUUGAGACUUCAUGGUAGAACACACAACAUGGAAUUCCUUCAAGUAUUUGUGGGGAUCCUCAUCUGUAAGACCAUUAAACUUUAGAAACAAGUGUAUUUAACCAAAUUUAAGUUCAAAUGGUACAGUAACUUCAGGAUAUGUGAUACACAAUGCAUUAUAAUUGACAUUAGGUGCAGCAAGUUGUCUUAAAGUUCUAUUAUUCACAUCAACCAUAUUUUGUAGUAAGUUGUCACUUUCACUAUUUGACUUUGACUCAUUAACGCUAGUAUCUCUAUUAAGUCUACCAUGUAAAUGAAAUAUCCUAUCUAUUUCAGGUUCAAGAGAAUGCAUAUUUGCAAAACUAGCCCUAGUAAUGCAUCAUCAUAACAAUGCAAUGCAAAAUCAAAAUUCUGAAAAUUUCAACAAUCUCCCUAUCGCUAAAAUUAAAGUAAAAAAUUGAAAACCCUAUCAAAUAAAAUCCAAAAAAUAUAAAAAUACCACCCAAAAUUCCUAAAAAUCAAAUAAAGGCAACGCAAAUAUUUUUUAGAAUUUUUGGAGAAUAUGAAAAUUCAAAAAUUUGAAAAAGGGUAUAAACGAUGGAAUUUGUGAUUUUGAGCGUCGUUUCCCGUAAUCCGGCCCUUAUAGGGAAGUAAUAUUCCUUGAUUUUUUUUUUAUUUUCUGGUGAAAUUUCGGAGAAAUGCGAGACAAUCGCCUGAAAAUAUGUUUUUUUUUACUAGCAACGUGCGUACGAGUUAGGCACAAGUCUAUCCGACCGGUAGAGCAACAAAAUAGGAAGAAACAAUUGUUAGGAUGGUUAGUAAUACUCUAAAACUGGUUAAUAUUGUUAUAAGAGAGUCCUCGACAACAACACCAAUUUGAUCUGAUGUCGCACACGGGUCAAAUACAAUUGAUAAAAUGUAAAUAGAGGUAAUAACUCGAGUCGUUUCGCAAUGACUUCUGAUAUAAUAAUAUUAACCGAAUUGAAAGCUGAAAUUAGAAAUGGGGUUUUUUAAAUUUUUGUUUUAACAGAUGAGCAAAACGAUUAAUCCACUUAUUCGAGUUUCAGACCUAUCACAGAUUCUAUCAAUGAGUUUAAUUUAUAAUUCGUGAUUCUAUUCUUAUUUGACUAUAGAAUUGAUUAAACAAGCGUAAUCAAUCCUAUGUGAAUUCGGUUUCGUUGGCUGAAUUAAGCAUCACAAUCAUCAACAUAUUACAAUUAACAAUCAAACGUCGUAAUAUUAUAAAUUAAUUAAAUUAGAAACCGAAACUAAAUUUUGUCAAAUGAAUUUAAUCGAUCCUAUUGAAAUUCAAUUUAAGCAAUCAAAAUGUCAAUAUAAUCAAAUAAACAGAAAUAGAAUCAUAAAGCGAAAUUGACAAUGUAACUUGAAUCUCAAGGUGUUGAUGAAACCCUAAACUCGUGGAUUAAUUUUAUAAAAUUAGUCUUCCAUGAAAUUAAAAUAAAAAGUGUUUAUUCCUUGUAACAAUCUGAAUCCUAAAAUUUCAUCCGUAGAAAAGAAAGAAAACUCCCAAUAUAUAGUAUCCGAUCUUGGGCUAUAUAGUGUUUAGGGUUUAACAACAAGUGGCCCGCUAUUUAAAAUUAUUACAAAAGUCCAGAUUAUGAAAUUUGUAAUUUAAGUAUAGUAAAGUUCAGCAUUGGGCUUUUAUUCUAACAUAAAAGUUGUAGCUCUGAUUUUUAGCUUUCCAUUGCCUGCUCAUAUGCGCCUAUCCGAUAUCCAGAGCUCAAGUUAUGACCUGUAGAGCGAGCAAGGGUGAAAAUGCAAAUAAUAAAAUUGUAAUUCAAUUUCAACCCAAAGUUUAAAAGCAAGUUAAAAAAAUCAUUCUAAGCUAUAAAGAGCUUUUAAAAUACCAAAUUAAAAAGUUAGAAACAUGUGCCCAAAUGCUAUGAUCAAAUUACCGCACACUUAAACUGUUGCACUCCGAGUAAAGCAUUGCAUGCGAUUCCAAAUAUUCUUAUGAAUGCAAAGUGGUGAGAGAAAAAAAAAUAUUUCUAGCUUAAGGUAAUCAUGAAUAGUUUUUUUUUUUUUUAUCACAACCAAGGUAAACAAGAGGACAAGUUAACUAAAUAAUGCAUCAUAAAUGAUAGAGUCUUCCCAGGAUAUAAAAUUCUCUCAAAGUGUUUACACUCAAAAUGUUUGGGUUACUGUUUAACUGCCUCUAUAGUUCAAUUUAGAAUCCAAAUUGGUUGGUGUUUGGUGAUUUUAACUUUGUACUUUCCUAAUAUGAGAAAUGGGAGGCAACUUAAUUGAUAAUCAAAUCACUAAUAGCUUUAGGAACUCUAUCCAAUAUUGUAGCUUGCUAGAUUUGGGCUUUAAUGGCAACAAAUACACUUGGUCUAAUAAUCAAAUUAGUUUUGCUCAAACGGGGGAACUGUAGAUUUGGGAAAAUUCCUAAUAGGAUAAAGGAGAUGCAACAUAGAUUAAAUCUUUUACAUCUGAAGAAGCAGAAUUCCAACACUACUGCUCAAAUUAAGAUUACUGAAUAACAUUUGUGUUUUUCAAAGGGCCUUUAUACCUUACAUGCUUAUUAUGGAUACCACUAUGAUUGCUUGUGAGUAUUUUCAUUUUAUGAAUCAUAAGUGUCAUCGCUCAAAGGGCUUUGUUAGUGUUAAACUUGAUAUGGCCAAAGCUUAUGACCGAAUUGGAGUAGGCCUUUUUGAAAAACCCUAUGUUGGUUAUGGGGUUUUCUAGUAAUAUAGUUAAUACUAUUACGAAAUAUGUUUCUUUUGUUUCCUUUUCUAUUCUCAUUAAUGGUUCCCCCACUACUAGUUUUUUUUCUGCAACAUCGUCUUAGAAAAAGAGACCCCAUAUUUGUAUAUCAUUUGUGUUGAAGUGUUCUCGGGGCUUCUUCUUCGUGUGCAAAGAAAUAAUAUUAUUCAUGUCAUUAAAAUUAAUAAACGAGCUUCGAAAAUUACUCAUCAUUUCUAUGAUAACGAUAGUCUUAUAUUUUGCAGAGCAAAUCAACAUGAAGCUAAGGAGCUAUUGCAUAUUUUUGAGUUAUACCAAUCAGCUUCAACUCAACUCAUAAAUCAAAACUAAAAAGAACUCGUUUUCAGCACACACAAAAAAAAAAUUCUUAGAUUCUAAUAGAAGUAGAUUCUCUUCUAUCAUCUCUAUGAAGGAGGUUGAGAGUCAUAGUAAAUAUCUUGGUUUACCCACGACUAUGGGAAGAUCUAAGAAGACUACGUUCAAAUUUAUAUAAGUCAUAAUAUGGAAAAAAAAACUCAAAGGUUGGAAGGAAAAAACUUAUCAUUUGUGGGACGGAGGACUCUUAUCAAAGCAGUGGAGCAAACAAUUCCAACAUAUGUAAUGAGUUGUUUUCUUAUACCUAAAAGUAUUUAUGAAGAGUUGGAGUGUCAUAUCUAUAAUUUUUGGUGGGGAAGCAAAUAAAUCGAGCACAACAUGUGGUUCUCACAAUACGUAAUUUUUUAUAUUUACAUCAUAUUCUAACAAUAGAUAACAAAUAAUUUUAUGUGUGGAUCUCAUGGGUAUACACUAGUUACCAAAGCCGAACCUACUUUUUGAAUUGUGUGAACAAUGACCUACACUUGAUUUGAUUUUGAAUAGAAAAAAAAAAACAUUUUUAGUAUUUAGUACUUUCAAAAAUUGUUAUCACAAAGAGAAAAGUUUAUGUUAUAGAUUUUGCCUCUACUAUAUUUUGAUAUUUUUUUUUUAUAAAAUAUGUGAGUGUUGUUAUAAUCGUUUUGAAAUGUUUUAAAAUUACAAAAAUAAAUCUAUGUUAUUAAUCAUUUUGAUCUUUAAAUAUGUCCACUACAAGAAAUUUUACGUUUAGUGACAGUGAAAAUUCAUAGGUAAAAGCAUAAAAAUCAUAGGGAUAGCCAAAAUUACCUAUAUCGACGGGGUUUUUUUUCGUGGUAUAUAAUUACCCAAUACCUACGAAUUUUCUCCGUGGCUACAGGAUAUAGUGACAAAAAAUUUUCCGUUGCGGUAAAUAUUUGAUUUUACCUGGACAUUUCACCGUUGGUAUAUACUUUAGCCAUAAUUUUUAAAAGUUAUACCUACGGUUUUGAUUCUGUUGCUACACAUUUAAGUGACAACUUAUUUUUGUUGGUAUAGGUUUUAACAGUAACAAAUUUGCUAUAAAUAUUAAUCUUUUGUUAUCAAUAAAAAUUAUAUAAUAAUUUAAAAUUUUAUUUUAUAAAAUUAACCAAAUAUAAAUACACAAAGAAAUAUAUAUAUAUAUAUAUAUAUAUAUAUAUAUAUAUUUAAGAGUCAAAAUAAAAUAAAAAGUGUUCAUCGUAUAUAUUAAAAAUUAACAUAAAAGUCUUACAAUGAUAAAACAAUAGUUAAACAAUGUUCGUCAUAAUGCACUGUAGUGUAUUUUUACUUAGUAGUGGAAAACGUCUUACUAACAUUUAAAAUAGACAUCUUGUCAUACAUAACAAUCUCAAAAAACAUUAAGAAAUUGAAUCCACUAAAUUGCCAAUAUUUCAUCUUCAACAACAAAUUAGCUUUUAAUCUUCACCUACAAUCAAUAAAAUAACAAAUGAAUAAAUACACGGUUUAAUAUAAAAAUAUUACUAAUGAAAUAGAGAAAAUAUUAAUGAUUUUAGUCAAAAUUGACUAAUACUAUCUAAUUACCAUUUUCAUUAUUUUCAUUGUUGUUUGGACUAAGUGAAUUCAAAUGGUUUUGAGCACUAGUAGCAUCAGGAACCUAUCACAAAAAAUAGAAAAUAUUACUUAUGAAAAAUAUGAGUAUGGAACUUAUGAAGCUAGUUUGAUAAGAUUAAUAACUUAUGAUAUACCUGUCUUGCAACUUGUAUUAUAUCAUUCACAUCUUCUCCAGAAAAUCGAUUUUGAAUUAAAGUCAUCACAUUUGCUUACAAGCUUUCCAUAUUCUUAACUCUUUCGCGCAACUCUUCAUUUUCAGAUACACAAACCUUUGAUUUUUUAGAAUGAGGAAUCUUAUCAGGUCCUUGUACUUGAUAAAAUAUGUCAUCCUUCUAAGACAUAGAACCUUGUGUGUCUUGGGUUGAUUGAGAAGUUCUAGCCUCAUUACUAUGUUUUUUUAGUUCCUCCUAAAAAAUAAAAUAAAAAUUAUUAAGGAUUGAAAAUACCAAAUUGAAAUUGACAUUCAAAGCAUGUAGUACUACAAUAAGAUCCAAUUAAAAAACUUCAAUACUGCAUAUAGCUAACAAGUACAACAUCUCCUAAAAGGUCUAGUAAAAAACCAAUAAAAUCAUCAUACAAAUCAAAAUAAAAUUCAACAAUUUGUCAAACUUAAUUUGUACACGUUUUAUAUAUUGAUACCAUUUAAUUAUUAUCAAAACUCACAAUCAAUCUUGCAGCCUUUUCAUUGACAAUUGAUCCGUCUUUACAAGUGCAGGUAUCAAUGUAAAUCUCUUUAUGUCCAGGCAACACUCCUUUGCCCUUUUUUAUCUACAACCAAACAAACAAGUUAAAUGCAUUUCAUUUUUUAAUUCAAAUUAAAGCCAUGAAAAUACAAAUAGAAAUAAACCUUUUUAUCAAUAAACUUUGGGAUAUUUUUUGAACCCAUACAAUGAACAUCUUCAAACUUAGCACGAUUUUGCUUAUUAAUUUUACUUAUUUUCUACAAUUGAUACAAAAUAUUAGUCUAAAUAAUAAACUAUUUAAUAUAUUACUCAUAAUAUAUAUGACUUACUUGUCCUUCCAGAGAUUUCAUCAUCAUUUCUACUAGGUCUAUUGAACCUAGUUUCUACCCCAAAUAGAUAUUGCGAACAAAAUAUCAAACAUUCAUUGACAAAACAUCCUUCUGCAAUUGAUCCUUCUGGAUGAGCUCUAUUACGUACAAAUGACUUAAGAGUAAGAAGAAACCUGAAAGUGAAGAAAAUUUAAUAUAUCUAUGUUGUCAACAUUCAAAAAAACUUGUUUAACACUUUUAAUUAAACCAAUUUUUAUAAACCAUUCAUACCUCUCAAUCAGAUACAUCCAUCGAUAUUGAACCAGUCCAGCAACUUGUGCUUCGUGUGCCAAAUGAACUACCAAAUGAAUCAUAACAGUAAAAAAUGAAGGAGGAAAAAUUGUUUCCAACUGACAACGUGUGAUAACUAUUUGAGACUCCAAUUGUGAUAGAAACUCCAUAUUAACUACCUUAGAACAAAUUUGCUUAAAGAAAUUGCAAAGAUCAACCAACACUGAAGUGACUUUAUAUGGCAAUGAACCCCGUAAUGCUACUAGAAGAAGCUCUUGCAUCAAAACAUGACAAUCGUAACUUUUUAAUCCAAAAAUCUUGUGUUGCUUGACAUGCAAACAAACUGGGAUGUAUGAUGAGCAUUCAUCUGGAGUUUUUACAUUCUUGAGAAUGCUUAGAAAAGAUUCAUUUUCUUUGUUAGUCAUUUGAUAACAUGCUCUAGGCAAACGCGUUGUAGUUAUAUUAGGACUUGGUUGAGGAUGAAUCAUACUUCUUAUGCCCAUAUCUACAAGAUCAGAUCGUACCUUAUAAUUGUCUUUGGAUUUUCCAUAUUGAUUUUCCCUCAAGCACAUAAUGCAAGUCCUAAAAAAUUAACAAGUUGAAAAUUCGAAUGCACAACUUGCUAAGUAUAAUCAAUCCAUUAAAAAAGGAACUUUCAUGGUGUCAUCUGAUUUUUGUCUUUUUAAAAAUGGAAGAUCAUGCAAACAUUAUCAUUAACAAAGCAACUCAGCCACAAUAUCAAAGUGCAACAAACAUUAUCCUGAUUCCGAUGCACUAGCUUCAUCAUACUUCACAAUUCAAACCAAGUGAAGAACAUGAUAUUCAACAACAACAUCAGAUUCAACAACAAUAUUUAAUCAGUACAACUGUGGGAGUCCAUACAAGUUAGAAGGUAAACUUAUUUGUACCAGAGGUAAUUUUGCAAAUGAAUCCAAAAUGACUUCAUGUUUUAAAGCUAAAAUUGGUUCAAAAAGGAUUUUUGGAUAGUUAAUUUUGAAUAAACAAAUUAACUGUAGAAAGACCGUUGAAUUAUAAAAGACACCAAAGUUAAUGAAAAUAAAAAUGACUUAACAAAACAUACAUGAGUAAAAGCUUAAAAGUUAAAUUGCAAAAUGAACUUCAAAUUUGAAUCAACCUUAAUAAAUAAUUGAAUUGGAAUUUUUGACAGAAGGAAAAUAGAAAAAUUUAAUAGAAAUGUAAAGAUGUGAAUCACAUACUUAAGGUUUUAAAAAACACGAAUCAAUUGAAAAUAUUUAGAUUUUAUCUUAAUUGAAAUUCUUUUGCCCCCAUUGAAAAAAUUAAGAUUUUGUCUAAUUUUUUUGGCUUAUCAUGAAAAAUUUGUACAAAAUUAUUUUCACAAACAAUUAAGAUUUUGGCUCCUUUAAAAAUAUCUAUUUUUCAAUUUUGAUGUCUAUAGCCAUGGAUUUAAGCGUGUAACUAUAACAAUUAGUGACAAAUUUAUGUCACUUAAGGUAUAAGACACUUAUACCAACAACAAUUAAUUUAUUUGUAGGGAUAGCUUAUCUAUACUUACAGUUUUUAAUUUUGUCAUUAUAAGCUUCUGUAGGUAUAUGUCUAUUUUUUUGUAGCGGUCAUUUGUUAACUUAUUUAGUCUUUAAAUAUAUUUUUCGUUAGUUAUUUUUGUCUGUAAAGUUACUAACAAAAGAUAUAGUUGAAAAUGUGUUUGAAAUUUUUAUAAAUUCAGAUAUUAUAACAUUUAAAAUAGAAUAGAAAAGAAAUAAAUUGAAAUAUUGCAUACACUUUUAACAAUUUGGAUAUGUUGAGUUAGGCAAUACGGAUGAGUUCGUCUCAGGUUCUUAGAGCAUCUCCAACGGAUGUCAGGUGUAAUUACGUAACCUUCAGUUUUCGGUGAGUUCACUGUUGGAGAUAUGCCAAGUUGUCAUCACCGUUCUCUCACGAAGGAACGAUACUUUGACACGGUUAUUUUUUUAUUAUUAAUUUAUGAAUAAUAAUAAAUAAAUGAUACACAAAAGCACAAUAUAUAUAUAUAUAAAAAACCAAUGCCAACAGCAUCUUAAUAAGUGUAGUCUAAUGAAAGCCAAAAUACAGCAUCGUUAGCUUUUCUUGUCGAAACAAGAAAAAAUCCACAUUAUUAAACUAUUCACAUUCCACGGUUUGAAUUAUCCGCGGAUCCUAGUUUUGAGAUUCCGCUACGUGUUUGCUUCUAGUUUUUCGUGGCAUCUUCUUAGUUUUUGCUUGUCACGAAAGUAAGCUCAAGAUAAUGAUGCUUUUGUCCUAUUGGUGUCCUCUCAUAAUACUUAACAUAAAUAUUAUGAUUGUAUUCGUGAGUUGUAAAAUAUUGGGAAUCUCUGCCUCUCUGUUAUUAUAAUUUUGAAUACUUAAUUAAUAAGAUGAUGUGCUAGCUGGCUGUUGCUUCUUGGCUAUCAUCAUAUAUGCCAUGUGCAUUGUUGGGUGGUUUAUGGUCAUACAUAUUCACACAGUCCACACAACAUAUUUGUACUCUUAUAAUAAACUUUUAGGUGAGGGUUAUUUAAGUAAGAGCGAUAUCAAAUUUGAGUUGACAUCUUCCCCAAUUUGUCAACAAGAAAAUAGAGAGUUUAACCAUUUAAUAUUUAAUUAAUAUUUAAUAUUUAUUAAUUUAUCUAUCUCCAAGUUAAAGAUUACAGAGUUAAAUUAAAUAUUUAAUGAUUAAGUUAUUAAAUUAAUGAUAUUUUUUAGAAGUUAAUCAUAUUUUAAGGUUUUAAUAAUAUCACGUCAUAAAAAAAAAGUAAUUUGACACAUGGAUUUUUUGUUUAAAAAUAAGGAAUAAAAUUGAGAACAAAAAAUAUUUGAAAGACAAAAAUAUAUGCAAGUUGCUUAGAUGUUUCCAAAAAUUCAAUCAAGCAGUCCCUUUCUUUCUGAAAAUGAUUGAUAUUUUAUAAAAUGAUUUCUAAUUUUAAUGUGUUUGGUUCGAGAGUAGUAAAUCGGAUUUUUCAUGAGGUUUAUAGCACUAGUGACGCGCAUAUGACUGGAACAACUUUAAGAUGAAAUCCAUAAUAAUUUAACUGAUGUUUCACCCAAAUAAUUUGAGUACAACAAGUAUUGACGAUAACAUAUUCUAUUUUGACAAUGGACAAAGUCACACCGGCUAGUUUCUUACUAAAUCAAAAUCCAAGUACUAGACCAAAGUGAAAUAACCACCUUUAGUGUACCAUCAACACAUAUUUUGUGUACUAAUGAGGUAUCUCAUUAUGUGUUUGGCAGCAUAAAGAUGUGAGUCUUUUAGAUUUACUUGAUAGCAAGCACACAUACACUCACUGAACAUAUUAUCAGGACAAUUAGCACUGAGAUAGAGGAGAGAACCUAUCAUAUCUCUAUACUCAUUUACCUCAAUCAACUUACUUCAUUUAUCUUUAUUAUUAAGAUAACAUGAAGUGUUCAUUGGAGGUCUUCAUUGGAGUUAAGAUUUCUUUUGUAUUUUGUAUUAUAAAGUUAUUGAGCAAUUUCUUGCAAUAUAUAGUUUGAUUUAUGAAAAUCAAACAUAAUGAUUAUUAGUUGCUCCAAAAAUAAUAUUGGUCACGUAAAUAUGUACAAGAAAAUGUGGUGCUUUAAAUUUUAUAAAAAAAAGAGUUGUAUAAAAAUUUCUUCUUUCAAAACCAUUUUUAAGUAAAAAUUUUCUCGAGGAGCUUGUUGUAGACCAUAUAAAGCAUUUUUUUUAAUUUAGAAACAUGAUUGUACCAUUUGGCAAAAAACUUUACUUUAUUUUUUAUAAAUCUGAAUCAAAUCUUAUUUUAAAUUUUCUUCAAUUAUAAAUCUGAAUCAAAUCUUAUUUUAGAUUCUUCAAAACAUGAAUUUUCUUUCAUACUCUGUGAUGUUAAAUAUAUUAUUCUCAUAAAAUACUUUUGUUAACAUCAAAACUCUAAGUAUAAAACCAAAUUGAUUCAAACAAUACAUUUUUACAAAAAAACUAGUUGCUUCAUCACUUGAGUCAUGUUGAUACGAACUACUAUUGUUGAAUCCUUCAUCCUCCUUAUAUUUUGAGGCUGAGCCAAUCUAGGAUAUACUUUUGUUUUUCUUCUUUUACCCUUUUUCUUCACGCGCACUUAACCAGUUCAACUUUUUCCCAUGUUCUUGUAACUUGUGAAAUAGGGUUUUUGUGGUCAUUAUUUCUAAGUUCAUUGACUACGAAAUCACUGUUACCUUAGGUUUCCAAUACCUACUUAAACAUCUUAACACUUUAUUUAUUAAAUCUUCUUUUGAAAACGUUUUACCUAGACAAUUCAAAUGAUUCACAAUGUGUUUGAAAUGUUUAUGCAAAUCCACAAUGGUUUCACCUUACUUCAAACUAACCAAUUAAUACUCUUGUGUUAGUGUUUUAAUUCGAGUAUAUUUUAUUUUUUGCAGUAUCAUCAUGUGCAACCACUAAAGUGUCCCACAUUUGUUGGGUAGUUUUUCAAUGAGAAAAUUUAUAAUAUUUUUCUUAUCUUAAAGUAGACGUUCACACGAUAAUAUUUUUGACUUUUCAAUCAUAUUGAACUUUCUUUUAGUCUAAAUGAAUUCAAUCCAUUUCCAAUUUAUCAAUGGCAAUUCCAUCACAGACAAUUGUUAAAACAUAUCGACCUUUUUUAAUGGCUACCCAAUAAUCUAAAUCAUAAGAAAUGAUAUCGAUUUUUCAUCUAUUCUUACCGAUAUGGAUAUCCAUAACCUCUAAAGAUUUGUGCUCUAUUAAAUGCUCCCUUAGGCUUUAGAAUCACGUAAGAAGACAUCUUAGUACUCUUAAAGUCAAUUUGACUUGUAUUAAAUAAGAGACCAAACUCUUAAUGCUAUUUGUUAGAUGAGACGGUACAAAGACUCUUGAUGCCAUUUGUUAAAAGAUAGUCAUAUCCUUUUUUAGAGUUUCAAACUAAAACAUUUUUAUAUAAAAAAAUUGAGUGUCACUAUUCAAAUUGGAUUGACACAUAGGAAUUAAGUAAUAACAAAUUCAUAAAGAGUAAAUUUCAAAUUUGCACAAAAAAAAAUUAUUAAUUGAUUAAAAGAUAGAACUUUAAAUAAUCAAAAUUUUCAUAUAACAAUCAACAUUACGAAAUAUAGAAAAAAAAUAGAAUUUACAAAGAACAAAUUUUAUAUAAAAACAAAAAACAAUGAUAUAUCUAUCCUAGUUCAUGGUCUUCACUAUGUAGAGAAUGUGCAUAUAUUCUUCUACAUGAAUGAAAGUUUCUUCAUUUAUUUAUAAAUAUAAAUAUUUAUAAAAAUCUAUCGACAAUUGAAUUAUAACACUUGUACAGACAAUCAGUUCUUUCCUAAACUCUAAAGAACCAAAAUUUUAUGCAACAUCUUUGAGAAAAUUUGAACCAACACCUUUAAAUUGAAACACCUCUUCAAUCUUGAAAGUCCUUGAACCUUACAGUAAACACUAACUCUAGUAACUUGAAUAAAUCUUUCUUUUCAAUCGUAUCAAUCUUGUAAGCUAAUUCAUUCAACUUUCAAGGAGUUUAGUAAGUCAAUUCACAUAUUAAGGAUAUCAAAUCAUCUAUUUAAUACAUACUAAAUUGUAACAACCCUCUCACUACCUUAAAAUUUGGUAAGAUUUAAGUACUAAUUAUAAUUAUUAGAAUUUUAUUAAUUGUUAAUGUUGUAUUUUUAGAAAUAUUAAAAUAAGAUCAAGGGUAGAAUGAGAAAGUAGUAGCAUUAACAAGUCCAUGUGGCAAUGAAAGAACAUGCCACAUUCUCUCUCUCUCUCUCUCUCUCUCUCUCUCUCUCUCUCACUCAUGGUCACCUUUAACUAACAAAAACCUCCAUUUUAUUUCACCACCCGCUGCACCCUCUUUUCCACCAACAAAUCUCACUUUCUCUCAAUACAUUCUGAAAGCAACAACACUGUUAUUGUUCAUCAUCUCCCUCAUCCAUCAAUUUUCUUCUUGUUUACAAAAUCCUUCAAAGACAAAAGUUCUCUAAAAUCUUUAACACUUUCCUGACUACUUGCAUGUCCAUUUCUUCCUCUCGAGAUCCAUUAAUUGACCAAAGUAACACUAAAAAAAGAUACGGAGCAAUAUCUGGGGGAUCAAAAAAUUCAAACCAGAGUAUAAAGGGAAGAAGAGCUAAGAGUUGAGAAAGCAAUAAAAUUCCACAACUAGUUCGAGGUAUAGGAAUCCCUUCUUGGCAGACUGUGAGUUCUUUUCCCAAAAUUGUUUUCACAUUUUUCAUGUGAGUUUUCUGAAUUCGAUUUAAAUUUAAAUUUAUGUUAGAAAUAAUUUUCAAGGUUUGAUAUGGGGUUUUAUUAAAAUAUGAGAGUGAAGGAAAAAUUCAGAGUUUUAACAUGUAGAAAAUGUUUGAGAAUAUGCCAUUUAAUUGCUCUUUAAAUAAUGCAUUCUGCAAUUGUUUCUUCUCUUUUGCCUCUGAUUUCCCUUUUUAUCUUGCCUUUGAUUCAGUUUCCUCUAGAUGCCUCUGAUUCUGUUUCCUCUAGCUACCUCUAAUUUUGUUUCCUCCAGCUGCCUUUAUACACAUAUCCUUUGAUUCUGCCUUUGGACAUGUAUCCUCUAAUCUGUCUUUAGAUAUGUAUCCUCUAAUUCUGCCUCUGGAUAUAUAUCAUCUGACUCUGUCUUUGGUCACAUAUUUUCUGACUCUGACUAUGCUGCCAAUGACCUAUAUGCUUCGGGUCAUGUUGCCUCUGGUUAGAGUUUGUCUUUGGUCAUGCUUCCUUUGAUCUGUUACUCCAAAAUGCACUGCCUCUGGUCAAGAGUUCUGCCUCUGGUUCCAACUUUGAUCAGGGAUUUGGGAUUUGAUUCCCACUUGAUCACUCAUGGUCACCUUUAACUAACAAAAACCUCCAUUUUAUUUCACCACCCGCUGCACCCUCUUUUCCACCAACAAAUCUCACUUUCUCUCAAUACAUUCUGAAAGCAACAACACUGUUAUUGUUCAUCAUCUCCCUCAUCCAUCAAUUUUCUUCUUGUUUACAAAAUCCUUCAAAGACAAAAGUUCUCUAAAAUCUUUAACACUUUCCUGACUACUUGCAUGUCCAUUUCUUCCUCUCGAGAUCCAUUAAUUGACCAAAGUAACACUAAAAAAAGAUACGGAGCAAUAUCUGGGGGAUCAAAAAAUUCAAACCAGAGUAUAAAGGGAAGAAGAGCUAAGAGUUGAGAAAGCAAUAAAAUUCCACAACUAGUUCGAGGUAUAGGAAUCCCUUCUUGGCAGACUGUGAGUUCUUUUCCCAAAAUUGUUUUCACAUUUUUCAUGUGAGUUUUCUGAAUUCGAUUUAAAUUUAAAUUUAUGUUAGAAAUAAUUUUCAAGGUUUGAUAUGGGGUUUUAUUAAAAUAUGAGAGUGAAGGAAAAAUUCAGAGUUUUAACAUGUAGAAAAUGUUUGAGAAUAUGCCAUUUAAUUGCUCUUUAAAUAAUGCAUUCUGCAAUUGUUUCUUCUCUUUUGCCUCUGAUUUCCCUUUUUAUCUUGCCUUUGAUUCAGUUUCCUCUAGAUGCCUCUGAUUCUGUUUCCUCUAGCUACCUCUAAUUUUGUUUCCUCCAGCUGCCUUUAUACACAUAUCCUUUGAUUCUGCCUUUGGACAUGUAUCCUCUAAUCUGUCUUUAGAUAUGUAUCCUCUAAUUCUGCCUCUGGAUAUAUAUCAUCUGACUCUGUCUUUGGUCACAUAUUUUCUGACUCUGACUAUGCUGCCAAUGACCUAUAUGCUUCGGGUCAUGUUGCCUCUGGUUAGAGUUUGUCUUUGGUCAUGCUUCCUUUGAUCUGUUACUCCAAAAUGCACUGCCUCUGGUCAAGAGUUCUGCCUCUGGUUCCAACUUUGAUCAGGGAUUUGGGAUUUGAUUCCCACUUGAUUUUCAAUAUAUUGUUAAGUUAUUAUAAGUGUUAUAGAGUAAUGAUGCAUUUCAAGUGCAUUACAUUCUCAUUAAUCAGAUCAUGCAUGACCUUAUUUUCGGUGGGACAUUCAGAUUUGUUCCAGGCAUGGAACAAUAGGUAGAGGAGAACAAUUAGGACGCUAGUUGGGGUUUGUUCAGACCAUCUUUACCAAUCAGGAUUCAAUUUUUUUGGUGAUCCACAUCAAGAUAUUAGGUGACUUAAAAAUAUUUGUCAGUAUCUAAUCACCAUCACACAAUGAUCUGUAAAUUUGGUAGAAUAUGUCUCAAUGACAUAACCGCCUCAACGAAUAUCCUUCUCCUGGGACGCUACAAUAAAAGUGUCGCUCUCACUACAAGUAAGGUACACAUUCAUUUUUACUUCGCACUCCCUCCAACUCUUAUUUACUUGGGCAUCAUACUGCUUGCAGGUACACCCCCUGCUCUAGAUCAACGUUGAUAUUAGUUCUUUUAGUAUGAAUACAUGCACUCUUGACCAGACACUUGUCUUUAUGCUAGAAGACCCACUUGCCUUUAUGAGUUGAAAUAUUUUAAAAACUAACAUAAUAAAGGGAUAUCCUUGUGUGAUUUGAUUGGAUGUACAUGUCCAAAUUUUUGCAUUGUUUAUGCAUAAAAUAAAAUUGCAAAUAAGAAUAGUAAAAUCAAAUCCACUAUGAGUUGGGACAUUCUCCGUCUAUAUUUUAAUAUAAAACCUAAUGAUUAAGAAAAUUAAAAACACACUAACAAUACACGAAUAUUUCAAAAGCCAAUGAGAAAUAAAUAAAAAAAUCUUAAUCCUAAAAACAAAUUAAUUUAUUCUACAAAUGGCAUCUGUUCAAGAAUAAUGCAAAAUUUAAAUUGUUUAAUCUCAUUCAUCUACAAAAAAAAAAAAAAAAAAAAACGUGUUGGUGUUCUCUUAUAUCAUUUAUAAGUGGUAUUUGACGUGACCAAUUCAACCACAUGUUGACAAGUCAUAUGAAAGACUAAAAAAUUAUUAAAUUUGGUGAUAGUCUCUUCAUAAGCCGCUUACUCAAAAUACAUGCAACGAGUCAUUUGACUUUGUGUACACCGCACCUAAACGAGAAAACCAACAACACCAUACUAUAAUAAUGAAUAAAUCGAUGUUGUACUAGAAAAAAAUAUUAUAUAUAUAUAUAUAUAACACAAAACUUAAUCAAUGUGAAAAAGCAUUUAUUAAAAAAAUAAAAUGAUAAAAUAAUUUAGAGGAGAGAGGAGGCGGCGGCUUUUGUAGUGGUUAGUAGUUAAUAAUUAUUUCAUUAUAAGAAUGUUAACAGUUAUAUACAAAUGUUUUCUAUUUUUUCAUGGUAAAUAAAUAUACAAUUCCACUUGCAAUGACAUAUAUAAAUAUUAAGUUGCCUAAGUAGGACAUUAGGAUAGGUGGUUUCAGCAAAACAUGGAACUCUACUAGCCGGGUUAUCAUAUGGGCAGUAACUUCAAGGUACUUAUUAAUCUGAUAAAAAAGGUGCAUAAUAAGGACAACAUUGUUUCUUUCAUUAACUUAAUUUUAUAUACUUAAUCUGUUUGUUCUACCCUAAAAGUUUUCAUGAGUGGACACCCCUUUAGAACAUCCUAGUAGAGGAAACAAAUUGUUAGAUUGGAUAAACCAUUAUGUGGUCACAACAUGAGGACGGAAAAGAACCAAAACUUUGCCAUGUCUCCAUUAUGAAUUAAAAAGAUUAAUUAAUUAAAUAAAACAAGAACCAGGUUAAAUUAAAUUAAAACUCAGCCAAUGGGAAGGAUGGGAGGUGAAGUGCUUUUGCCCGAUAAUAAAGCAGAAAUAAAUUGGAACUUAAUGCAUGACGUGACUCUUAGUACCAAAAGCUAAUGAAGCUAGCUAGGGGUAUAUGCUAAAUAUUUGUAUUAUUUAUAUUUUCCAUAGAUCUGCAAUGCUCGAGUGGUCAUAUAAAAUAUGCUUUCAACAUUGUAUCAUAUGCUGAGUCCUUUUUCCUUUUUUGCUUAUAAAAACAAUAUAUGCCGAAUCUUUUCCUUUUUUAUUAUUCAAUCAAUUUAUUAUAAAAAAUUAAAUUCUUAAUAUGUAUAUAAAGUCUAAUUAUCAAUUUGUUUGAUCUUAUUCCUUUUACAGUAAGAUUAUUAUUAAAUUCAAGUUCAAUGCAUCUGAAUACAAUGUAAAGUUCAUGGUUACUAUAAUAAUGGUAGUAAUUAAAAAGUUUAGAUAGUGGGAAAUAUCGAAUCACUAAAUCAUAUUUCAAAAGAAAAUAAUUUCAAAGGGUAUGUUCAUGUCUAAUGGGUGAUUAUGAAAUUCACGAAACCAGAUUUGCAAAUCUAAAAUUUUCAGUGCAUUUGCGACUGAAGAAUUUUCAUUUUCUUGUUAAUAUCGACUAUAAUUCAAGUUUCUAAUUCUAUCACUAUUUAUAGAUAUAAAAAAUAUAAUAAUUAUUAAAUUGUUGUUUUGCAAAAUUACUGGGUUUUAUAUAUAUAUAUAUAUAUAUAUAUAUUCCUUUUUUAUAUAUAUCUUAAAAAAUAUAUAAUAAAAUUCUCAAUUUUUUUAACUGAGGUAGCAUUUUGAUCAACGAUUAUUUUAUUUUUCUCUGUUGUAUGAAGUCGCAUCUCAAAAUACAAAUGUUAAUAUAAUUUUAAUUUUUUUAUUUUUUAACUAUUUUAUAUUAAAGGUCAUAGAUAUCGCAUUUUAUGAUGUGAAAUAGUCGUAAGACGGAGACGGCUUCUUGAAAUUCAAAAAAAUAAAAUAAUUUAAAUAAAAUGCGAUAUAUUGGUCAAUUUUUUUUUAAAAAAAGAACGAUAUGUAAUAAACCAAAUCACUGUGCUAGAUUCAUAAAUUUUGUACGGAGAUUCAUAAUUUCUUAUAAACAUCAAUAUUUGUACUCACCCUAUGUGUAUUUUUUCUUUUUUUGUGAUACACCCUAUUUGUACUUUAUUUCUUAUUUUCAACGAUUAUACGUAACAUGAUAAUUUGUUUUAUAAAUAUUUUAUUUAAAAGAUAAAAAAAUAAAGAUGGAAUUUUUAUAGUUAUUCAAAAUAAUUUAAAAAAAUUAAUGUUAUUAAAAAACAAAAUUUGAUAUUAAUUAUAAAUAUAAUAGCAUAUAAAAUAUAACAAAAAUUAUAUUUUAUUUUUAUAAAAUAUUAAAGUAUUAUAUUUAUGUUAAAUUUUAUAUUCCAACAGUAUUACAAUUUUAAAAAACUAAAACGGAGAUGAAUGAUAUUGCCUUGUAUAUAAACAAAGUGAUAAAAAAGAACCAAUAAUAAUAAAAACUUGUAAUAUCAGUAAACCAAGAAAUUUUUAUUAAAAGUAAAUAAAUAAAGAUGAAUAGGUGAAAAUUGUCAUAGUUCAAAGUGGAUAAAAUACUAUAAGUUUGUUGAAUUUUGUAUGAAUUUUUCUUUUCUAUAUAAAUAAGUAAAACAUGAGCGCCAUUUUUUCUAAAAGAAUGAGUGUAUUUCUUGUUUGGUCCAUAUUUAGAUGGGAAGCACAACUAACGAAACAGGCUAGUGAAGUAGCUAAGGACCAAUCCAACGAAAAUUUCUCCUCCCACAGAGACUGAUCCAAAAAGCGAUCAAAAUGUGGGUCUAAAAAGUUUAUUAUUAAAUGUUGCAUAACAUUGAUCUACCAUAAUAGAUAUCUAUUAUCUAAAGAUUCAAUUUAAACUUUGUUAAAUAAAAAUUACUUUAUAUAUAUUCACAAUACAAAUAUAACCACAUGUCAUAUUUUUAGCUUCUAAAAGAACCACGUAUCACGAUUUACAGAAAAGUAUUCAUAUAUGAUAACAGAGAUAUUUUUAUAUGCAUUUAAAAAAAUAAUAUCGACCUAUUUAAAUGGUGAUGGUUAGAAUAUUUUAUUUAAUCAUUAUAUUUUAAUAUUAUAACGUCUGACACAUAUCUCUAUUUAAUUAUAUUAACUAUUUAUCAAAUUAAAACUCUUAAUUGAUCUAUGAUUAAAAUAAAUAAUACAGUUAAUUAGAUUUUUAAUUAUAUAAUUAAUUAAAAUUUUAUAUAAUUGAUAUGAGUAAAUGGUGUUCUAUUUGAGAAUAAUUAUAAUUCAAUAGUCAUUAUUCUAUAUAUACCUAUAUAUACAUUGGUUCCAAUACCUUACACAAGUAAACUGUCUCUUUUCCCAAUCAAUGGUUAAAUUUUUCGGUGCUUCCUGUCUUUUGAGGCUUUUAAUAAAUUCCAAUUCAUUUGAACCUUAAUUUGUGAAAAUCAGGAAUUCUGGAAUUCAUCUUUACAUUUGAAUUGAUAUAUGAUUCUCACUGUGAAUUGAAUUUUACUGAUUCUGAAACCACAACCAAUGUGUAUUUAAAAAAAUUAUGAUUGCAAUAUGCCUGUCUAUAUAUACGUAUUUUGCUGGAAACCUAGUUAUAAAUAUUAAUUUGUGCAUCUUUGGAUUAUUGGUAAUAUGUUAUUGAUCGAAACUUCAUUGUAUUUGACUAUUUUUUCUUCAAAAUUCGGUGAUUGUUUCGAUGUUUCUGAAAGAAAAAAGGUUUAUAUUGAUUGUACUAAAGGAAUAUAUUGCAUCACUUUAAUUUUCAGCCUAUUGUACGAUAUAUGAACAAAAUUUGAUUCAUAGAAAAUCUAUUGAAUUGACUUUAAAAUUAUUUUUCCUUCUAUCACGAUUGAAUGAAAAAAGAAAAAAAAAAACAUUUCAGAUAAAGUAAAUUGACUUUCAUGGUAGAAGAAGUUUUGCAUUUAUAUUCCGCUAGGCAUGAAUGGAUUUUGUCUUAUUAAAAAUCAAUUCAUUUUUUAUAUGUUGGUGAAUGCCUGAAUGGUAUGCAAAUAAAGUUUGGAUUAAUUUUUAUAUAAUUUUGCUAUUUGGUUAUUAUAAUUAUUUGCCUCUGGCAUAUAAAACUAAAGGCACAAGCUAAUAUCAUGUGCAUCAAUUUAGUUUGAGAAUAAUUUUAUUCAUAUAUAUUUAUGACAUAACCAGCUAUAUUUUUUAAGAAACUAUGUCAAUUAAUUUUUUGAACGGUUUCAGAAUUAAUUUGUUUCCAUUGGUAUUUAAGGCACUUUUUUUUAUCAAUGGUAUUUAAAGAAAUAUAUGUUACGAUUAUCAACCUGUGAAUCUUUACAAGACACUCCAGUUUGCACCUUUUAAUUUUUGGUAUAUUUUUAUUUACAAUUUCUUUACAGAUGAAGCACAUAAUACAACAAAUAUGGAUGGAUAAUUAUUAUAAUGUAGGAAAAUCAAUUUUAUAAAUGGAUCACAAAGUUUUAUGGCUUCUGAGCUGUAAACAUAAUAAAAGAGUUCUGGAUUUUGCAUGAGUAAUUUGUAAGACCGCAUGAGGUGCAAAGGUCUUUAAUUUCUUCCUCUUUUAAAAAGCCAUAGCCUUGAGAAGUCCUCUGCAAACAAAAAGUCCUUUCAAUCACCUUGUAUGGGAUUCAUGGGAAACUAAUGAAAUAGAUGAAGUGUUGCUAAAUAGCAACUAUAAUAGCACUAUAUAACAUAGCAUAAUUUGAAAAAAUUGCUAUUGUUCUGUGCUAAGUUAUUUAGUACAAAUGUUGUUAAAUAGAGGAUAUAGUGGUGCUAUAACACUUGUACAUAACGGAAUUUGAACAAAUUAUUAUUUUUCGUGAGUGACAUAACUGUCUUAUUUAUGGACUUAUAGAUUAUCAUGUAGUCACUACAAAACAUAACUCACAACAAAAUGGAAGCUCAAUGAACAUCUUCAGAAUGCAAGAGUUUGACACCACAGGUUAUUAUGACAAAAGAUCAAAGAUAAUUAUUAUCAAGAGCUUACCUCUCUGAAGGGGCGUAAAAUCCACGGAGUUGAUGAAGUAUAACGAAGAAAAGUGGUUCCGACAAAUACUCCACCACUUCUUAGUACACGGGUGAUUUCAGCAACCUUCAAGAAGUUUAUAUUUGGCGUGACAUUAUUCAAAUCACAUUCAUAUAAAGUGUGAAAUAGAAAUGAGUAAGAACAUGCAAAUCACAAGGAUAAGGCAACUAUGUUGACAAAAAAAAAAACACACAAAUCUAUAUAAUAAGGAAAUGGCAUCCCAUGUCUAAAUGUGGGAGUUGUGUUUUGUCCAACACACCCUCUCACGCCCAACACUAUUGGUUACCUAAAUCAAUAGACUUUGAUACUAUGUUAGGAUUUUAUUUUGGACCGAACUCAUCCAUCUAAAUCCGGAUUGUAAGGUUAGGUGAGGGGUGCCUCAUUUUUCAGGCCUUAUCUUGAGUUUUUUAAAUUAACUUUGAUGAGAAUUGGGGGGAAGAAAUUGAGAGUAGUGCAUACAACCUAAACACCUAUAGACAGCUGCCGGUGGAGAUAUAUACAUUACAUAGCUACAUAAUAAUUGAAUUCUCAUUCGAAGAUAGCGAUUGAUACGAUUAGGCCAAAGCCUAUUAUUAAAAAUGUAUAUAGAAGAGGGAAUAGGAAGGUUUGGUUGAAACCUUCCUAAUUGCAAUUCUCUGACAGUUGUACAAAAACAGUUAGCAGUUAGGAAUACUAUAAAUAGAAUGUUAGUUCUAAUUGAGAGUUAGUUAGAGAUUGGGAAAGUUAUCACUGGUUGUGGAACCAGAACAGGAUUGCGGGAUCCUCUGUAAUUCCUUCAUCCCUUCCAUUCUAUUCAAUUCAAUAAAGUUCCAUACUAAAACCUAAUCAAAAUCACAUUGAUUCUGGGUUAGGGUAUUGAUUCUUGAUUCAUUCUUUCGUUUGGGAUCUCACACGCUGCUGCCAAUUCUGGGUGCCUGAGGGUUUGGGAUCUCACACGCUGCUGCCAAAUUGCUUAUGGUUGUUACGAGGAGGAUGGCUAGAGAAGAUGAAAACUGGACCCAAGAACGUGAAGAAUUACGUCAAGAACGAGAAGAUAUGCGCAAUCGUAUAGAGAUGAAUGAGACGCGAUUGAGAAGGACAGAGACGUCGUUAGAGGCGAUAGCAACCAAAUUAGGGAUUAAUGGAGAAAAUGUUUCCAUGGGAGACGAAAAUGAGAACGAGGAAGAACACCACAGUCGCCCACAACACAGAAAUCAUGAUAGGUGGAGAAAACUGGAAAUUCCAGUUUUUUCUGGGGAUGAUGAGGUGAAUGAUUUAGAAGGAGAAGAUGAGAUAGAGACACUAAAUUCCUUGCAAUUAUCAAUGUACUCCAUGACAGGACUCACAACUAGUAAAUCAUGGAAGGUAGGAGGAAUAAUAAAAGAUAAACCUGUUGUGAUAUUGAUAGAUUGUGGGGCAUCACACAAUUUCAUUGCAAAGGAUUCAGUGGACAGGUUGAAACUGAAAGUAGACGACACUCCAGCCUAUGUAGUAGAAGUGGGAGAUGGCCAUAAAGUUCAAAAUAGAGGAAAAUGUACCCAGCUCAAACUAUAUUUACAACAAUUAGAAGUUAUUCAAGACUUCUAUUUGUUUGGAUUAAAAGGAGUGNNNNNNNNNNNNNNNNNNNNNNNNNNNNNNNNNNNNNNNNNNNNNNNNNNNNNNNNNNNNNNNNNNNNNNNNNNNNNNNNNNNNNNNNNNNNNNNNNNNNNNNNNNNNNNNNNNNNNNNNNNNNNNNNNNNNNNNNNNNNNNNNNNNNNNNNNNNNNNNNNNNNNNNNNNNNNNNNNNNNNNNNNNNNNNNNNNNNNNNNNNNNNNNNNNNNNNNNNNNNNNNNNNNNNNNNNNNNNNNNNNNNNNNNNNNNNNNNNNNNNNNNNNNNNNNNNNNNNNNNNNNNNNNNNNNNNNNNNNNNNNNNNNNNNNNNNNNNNNNNNNNNNNNNNNNNNNNNNNNNNNNNNNNNNNNNNNNNNNNNNNNNNNNNNNNNNNNNNNNNNNNNNNNNNNNNNNNNNNNNNNNNNNNNNNNNNNNNNNNNNNNNNNNNNNNNNNNNNNNNNNNNNNNNNNNNNNNNNNNNNNNNNNNNNNNNNNNNNNNNNNNNNNNNNNNNNNNNNNNNNNNNNNNNNNNNNNNNNNNNNNNNNNNNNNNNNNNNNNNNNNNNNNNNNNNNNNNNNNNNNNNNNNNNNNNNNNNNNNNNNNNNNNNNNNNNNNNNNNNNNNNNNNNNNNNNNNNNNNNNNNNNNNNNNNNNNNNCAGAAAUUGAGAAACUUGUAGCUGAAAUGUUAGAUGUUGGGGUGAUCAGAAACAGUAUUAGCCCUUAUUCUAGCCCUAUCAUUCUAGUGAAGAAAAAAGAUGGAGGUUGGAGAUUUUGUGUGGAUUAUAGGGCACUCAACAAGGUCACCAUUCCAAACAAAUUUCCAAUUCCUAUAAUUGAAGAGUAGUUAAAUGAAUUGGGAGGAGCAAAGGUUUUUUCUAAACUUGAUUUGAAGUCAGGUUAUCAUCAGAUACGGAUGAGAUUGAAAGAUGCCGAGAAGACAGCAUUUAGGACUCAUGAGGGGCAUUAUGAAUUCUUAGUUAUGCCUUUUGGACUCACUAAUGCCCCCUCCACGUUUCAAGCUUUGAUGAAUGAGAUCUUGAAACCAUAUUUGAGGAAAUUCACACUAGUGUUUUUUGAUGACAUUUUAAUAUACAACCCUGAUUUGGAAUCCCAUAAAGACCAUUUACAAGUCAUCUUAACAGUGUUAACUGAGAAUAAGUUGAAGGCAAACUUCAAGAAAUGCAGCUUUGGUCAAACAAGUAUUGAGUAUUUGGGCCAAAUCAUUUCAGGAGAUGGUGUUUCUGCUGACUGUUCUAAAGUGGAAGCUAUGAAGUCUUGGCCGCAACCAAGGAAUAUAAAAGGGUUCUUAGGGCUCUCAGGUUAUUAUCGAAGGUUUGUUCAGAAUUAUGGCAAGAUAGCAUAACCUCUGACAGAUUUACUCAAGAAAGAUUCUUUCAGUUGGACUGCAGAGGCUACAUCUGCUUUUGAAAAGUUGAAGGCUGCUAUGGUAUCUCUACCAAUGUUGGCAAUACCUGAUUUUAAUAAGGAAUUUAUAGUGGAAACUGAUGCUUCCAGCAAAGGUCUAGGGGCAGUUUUGAUGCAAGAGGGAAGGCCUUUAGCAUUUUGGAGUAAAGGGNNNNNNNNNNNNNNNNNNNNNNNNNNNNNNNNNNNNNNNNNNNNNNNNNNNNNNNNNNNNNNNNNNNNNNNNNNNNNNNNNNNNNNNNNNNNNNNNNNNNNNNNNNNNNNNNNNNNNNNNNNNNNNNNNNNNNNNNNNNNNNNNNNNNNNNNNNNNNNNNNNNNNNNNNNNNNNNNNNNNNNNNNNNNNNNNNNNNNNNNNNNNNNNNNNNNNNNNNNNNNNNNNNNNNNNNNNNNNNNNNNNNNNNNNNNNNNNNNNNNNNNNNNNNNNNNNNNNNNNNNNNNNNNNNNNNNNNNNNNNNNNNNNNNNNNNNNNNNNNNNNNNNNNNNNNNNNNNNNNNNNNNNNNNNNNNNNNNNNNNNNNNNNNNNNNNNNNNNNNNNNNNNNNNNNNNNNNNNNNNNNNNNNNNNNNNNNNNNNNNNNNNNNNNNNNNNNNNNNNNNNNNNNNNNNNNNNNNNNNNNNNNNNNNNNNNNNNNNNNNNNNNNNNNNNNNNNNNNNNNNNNNNNNNNNNNNNNNNNNNNNNNNNNNNNNNNNNNNNNNNNNNNNNNNNNNNNNNNNNNNNNNNNNNNNNNNNNNNNNNNNNNNNNNNNNNNNNNNNNNNNNNNNNNNNNNNNNNNNNNNNNNNNNNNCCCAACUGAAGUUGAGCACUUCUUAUCACCCACAGUCAGAUGGCCAAACUGAAGUGGCUAAUAGAUGUGUGGAGACAUACCUUAGAUGCUUUGUAGGGCCUAAACCAAAGCAAUGGUUAGAUUGGAUACAUUGGGCAGAGUUUUGGUUCAAUUCAAAUUACAACAGUUCUGCGGGAAUGACUCCUUUUAGAGCUUUGUAUGGUAGGGAUUCUCCUACACUGUUGAAAGCAGGUGCUGUUCCUUCUAAAGUGGAAGAAGUAAAUCAGAUGUUUCUCCAUAGAGAUGCUAUAAUAGAAGAAUUGAAAGCCAACUUAACUAAAGCUCAAAAUCAAAUGAAACAACAGGCUGACAAGCAUAGAAGGGCAGUAGAAUUUCAAGUGGAGGAUUGGGUUUAUCUCAAACUACAACCAUAUAAAUUGAAGUCUUUAGCUUCAAGACCUUAUGCUAAGCUUGCUCCUAGAUUUUAUGGUCCAUACCAGGUGGUCACAAGGGUGGGUACUGUCGCCUACAAGUUAGCUCUACCUGUCCAUUCUAAAAUUCACCCUGUUUUCCAUGUGUCCUUAUUAAAGAAGGCUCUGAAACCUCAGCAACAACCUCAACCUUUACCCCCCUAUGCUGAAUGAAGAAUUGGAGUUACAAGUACAACCAGAAGACAUUACUGACAACAGAGAAGUUAAUCAAGGUCAUGUUGAAGUCUUGGUAAAAUGGAAGGAUCUUCCUCUACAUGAAUGCACUUGGGAAUUGGCUGCUACAAUACAAGAAAACUUCCCAGAUUUUCCACUUGAGGGCAAGUUAUUUCUUUUAGGGGAGGGUAUUGAUACGAUUAGGCCAAAGCCUAUUAUUAAAAAUGUAUAUAGAAGAGGGAAUAGGAAGGUUUGGUUGAAACCUUCCUAAUUGUAAUUCUCUGACAGCUGUACAAAAACAGUUAGCAGUUAGGAAUACUAUAAAUAGAAUGUUAGUUCUAAUUGAGAGUUAGUUAGAGAUUGGGAAAGUUAUCACUGGUUGUGGAACCAGAACAGGAUCGCAGGAUCCUCUGUAAUUCCUUCAUCCCUUCCAUUCUAUUCAAUUCAAUAAAGUUCCAUACUAAAACCUAAUCAGAAUCACAUUGAUUCUGGGUCAGGGUAUUGAUUCUUGAUUCAUUCUUUCGUUUCUUUAAUUCUGAUUACCAGUGUUAUCAGCGAUCCAACUAGAGAUUUGUAAGUACACAGAACUGUCUGUAGUAUAAACUCAAAAUAUGUUUGCGAGUAUCAUGUGUAUGUAUUGCAACAUUAAGGCGCAUAAAAUUAACAAAUACAAUUGUGGAGGGAAUGAUUUCUAUUUUAUUUCUGCACAUCUGCCUCAACAAAAUAUUACGUGAGAAAUACUUGUAACACAGCUGAUAGGAAUGGGUUGGGCCCCACAAGUGAUGAGGGGGGUCUCUUAGUAAAUAGAGAUGAGGUGGGGCCUAAGCAAUGGCAAGUAUAUGUGAGAAAGAAUAAGAAAGGGGAUGUAGAAAAAUAAUGAUUGCCUAGCUGGCAUAGGGAGUUAAUAUUCCACUAAUAAAUAGGAAUUAAUAUUCCACUAAUAAAGGGGAGUGUGUGCAGAGAUAGCUGGAUGGUUUUUUAUUUUUCAGUUACACCUUAUAGGUUGGGCAGUAAGAGAAUUGUUUUCUCUAACUGAGGAGCAUUAGCUCUGGAAUCAUUUUCUGUUUUCUUAUCAAUUAAUACAAUAAUUCUUUUCAUCUAAUUUUAUCUUAUCUCUGCUCUAUCACUUCCCUAUAUCGUCCUUCAUCAUAUGAUGUAUGCGGCCCUUGCUUCUAACAAAAAGAGCACAAUCUCUUAUGGCAUGGUGCUCGCCAAGGUUUUUAAGUCCACCAAAAUUCCUCUAAAUGAUGACAUUUCCCUCACUUCUUGCUCCAAGUUCACAUUGAAAAAUGGGAAUUAUAUGAAAAAGCGUCCUCCUCCACAAAAAGAAGAGAGUUGCAUCCUCUUCACCUAAGAUAUAGGUCCUCCAAAUGGUGAUUAAGAGGCUGCAAAAAGGAAGAGGAAACAAAAUAUAUUAAUUGGUUGAACCAAUUAUGGAGGAGAUAGAAUGUUCUCCAUGAAGGAAACACCACCUCUGGAAAUCCAAAUUUUGUUGAUUUUGAUCAAGUUAUCGACAAUGAUCAAAUCAAUUCAGAAAUGAUUGUAGAGUACACUUCAAUACUUGAGGUAACUCUCACAAAAAAUGGUCUAAAUCCCUUCUUUAAUCCCACCAAAAUCAUAACUAGAAACAUCUCUCACUCAAUUCUACUUUUUACAUCUCCCACCAAUAGCUCGUCAACUCACUUUGAGCCUAAUUCACUCAAAAAUUUAUUAAAAUUCCAAGCCAUAACUCCUAUGUGCCUCUACAAACUUUUCAACCUUCAACCUUUUCACUGCCAUUUUCAUCUACAAAAUUUGGUUCUUUGGGUUCUUUUUGCAUUGCUAACUACUCAAGUGAUUGAGAAUAUCAGUCAUCAGGUUAUUCUAUUGAUGAACGUCAUCCAAAAUUGAGAACAAUACCUCCAAAACCAGAAAAGACACUCCCACGAUUUUUGAGGAAAUGGUUAUUUUGCAUAACCUUCUAAUUCACCAAAGUCAAGAAAAUACCACUCUUAAGAAAUAGAUUACCGAUGAAGUCUUCCCAAAAUUUGGUCUUAAUCCACCUGCUCCUAAUUCAGCACCACCUCCUCAAUAUUUUCCUAUUUUAUCCAUUUCAUCAACAUCAUCUUAUGCCUCAUCACCAUCCUUGACUAUAUGAUGUUGUUGUUAUCCACUACCUCUCUUUUUUAUAUGACAAAAGAGGAGAAUAAAUUAGGAUGCUGAUGUUUUAAGUUUUUAAUUACGACUGCAAUUAGGAACUUAAGAAGUAAAUUUUUGUGCACAUUGUUGCUUGCUUACUUCUUUUUAUUUUCUCAAUUUCAAUUCUAAAGUAGGACCUGUUAAAUUUUUUAACCUUGAUCUAUGUUCAUGUAAAAUCAUUUUGUGGUAUUGUAUCAUUUUUGAUAUGAAUGGAACACAUAUAUGGUUCAAGAUAAAAUGGAGGGGAAGCUUUUUGAUAAAUCAGGCAAGCUUUAUCGUCAUUUAAUUAAAAAUCAUAAUCACAAAUUCAAAAUAUAAUUUAAGAGGCUUGUCAUCAUCAAAAAGGGGAUAUUGUUGAAGCUAAAUCUCAAAAGAUAACACACAUCUUAAAUUAUAUUUUUAAGAUUCUAAUCAUUAUGUGAUCUAACUUGUUCUUUUGAGUGUUUUAUGAUUGAAAAUGAGAAUUGAUUUUAAUCUAAGUAUCUUACUCAUAAGAGAACAUAACAUCACUAAAAAAUGCAUAGAAAGAACACUAUACCCGAUGAAGAAGAACGUUCUCCUUAAUGGGAAUUUGAUAGAAACAUUUCUCACAUGUUAAAGCCAAAAUGCAAAUGUUAAAGCCAAAAUGAGCACCUAAAAUGAAUUUAAGUCAACUUAGUAAUCGUCAAGGAACAAUUAUUAUGUUUAAGUCAUUUCAAGAUUAUUGCAUUUAAGAUACUAUUUAUAAACUAACUUGAUUGAAGAAUAAUGAAAUAACAUUCUUUAUGGAACCAACCCAAGGGAAUAUGUCAAAAAGGCUUUGAGCGAUCCGACCUUGAUUUUAGCAUUGUUUUUUAAUUUUAUUUAGAUCAGUAUGAGUAAGCCAAGUCACAUUUUGGCAUACAAAUAAUGAUCCAACAUUUGAAGAGAACAUUAUCAUUGUCCUGCCACUUGCAAGGACAAAAAGACAAGAAUAAAGUAAAAGUGAAAGUUAGCACUUUUUUCCUUCCCUAUAAAGCUACAGUAAACAACUUUGAGGUGGCAUAAGCUUCAAAUUUCUCAACCAUCCAUCCUUCACAAAAAAUUAGAAGAACUUUCUUCUUUGUGAAUAGAACAUUCUCUUUAUUUUGCACUAAAAAUGAGGACAACUCAACAAAGAGAUUGUGUUUUGCAUAGAAUAGUGUGCCCAACAACUAUAUUUUAUCUACAAGCAAUCUAAACCUCUCCCCAUCUAUAAAUAGAGAUGUUUGUUGAACAUGAACAAGAAGAGUCUAAGCUUCAAUCGUCAACUACUUGUUUCUCACAAGACUCUGUUUGAUCAUACACAUUUCAGUUUUUCUCUUUAAUUUAGAAUAUUACACUUCUGAGUGUGUUGCUAUGGUUUUCUUUUACUUCUCAAAUUUGUCUUUGAGUAUUCAUAAGCAAAUAACUCAAACACUUAUUCAUAUAUUGUAAAUAUCUCCCAAAGUCUUUCCUCUGUGUGAAGUUUGUUUAAACAGAGAUUGUAAGCUUGUUGAGGUUGUGAUAAUAUAGGUUGUAAACAUGUUGAGGCUUUACUAAUACAAAUUGUGUUAUAUUAGCUUGUGAUCUAAAGAAAGUUGUAAAACUGAUGAAAGAAUGUUGUCUUCAGCAAAAUAGUGGAAAAUCUCACAAGGUGUGAGAACUGGACGUAACCCAAGGUUAAGCAUGAAUUGGGAUAAAUUUUUGUGUGAUUCUUGUUACCUUAAUGUUUUUCAUUUGCACACCGAUCACACUAAUCAGUGUCAUUUAUAUUUUUCAUAAGACAAUUUUUAUAAAGAAUAUUUUCUUCAUUUUAAACAAACAUUUUGAUCUAAAUUUAAAUUGUUAUAAGGCCUCAACUCAACAUUUUGUUUAAACAGAGAUUGUAAGCUUGUUGAGGUUGUGAUAAUAUAGGUUGUACACGUGUUGAGGCUUUAUUAAUACAAAUUGUGUUAUAUUAGCUUGUGAUCUAAAGAAAGUUGUAAAACUGAUGAAAGAAUGUUGUCUUCAGCAAAAUAGUGGAAAAUCUCACAAGGUGUGAGAACUGGACGUAACCCAAGGUUAAACAUGAAUUGGGAUAAAUUUUUGUGUGAUUCUUGUCACCUUAAUAUUUUUCAUUUGCACAUUGAUCACACUAAUCACUGUCAUUUACAUUUUUUGUAACACCCCGAUUUUCAAAGCGAAGGUGUAUUUUUUUUUCAAAAGAAAUUAAAAUAAAUCAGAGAAUUAAAUAAGGUAAUACCCUUGGAUAAAUAAUUGAGUCAUGAUAAUUCACAAGCAGCGGAAAAGUUUCUCAAAAUAUGAAUCCAGAGUAUUUAGACAACAACAAAUGAUACAUGGAACCCAUUCAAAUAAGAUGUCAUACUGACAAUAUUAGCAAAGGUGCAGUUUUCCAGUUCAAAAUAACGUAAUCCAAAAGAAAGACAUAUGUUCCCUCUAUGUCAUCCUAAUCUGGUCAUUCUACAAAAAACUAUAGCUAUACACCCUGAGUGAUCUCCACGCGCCCCGUGAGAUCCUCCUAACAUAGCUCCAGUCAAGCAAUCCCAUCUACAUUCCCAUCCGUAGGGUACGAACCGGUAGGAUCGUCCUGGCUCUCAUCUGAGGGCAAAGCCCAGAUUUCCACAAUAGUUGUAAAGGGUCACCAACCGAAAUUAACAGUUAACACAUAACAUUUAAAUUUUCAAAUGCACAAGAUAACCUUUCAACCUAGCAUGCACCUUAAAAGGGUUUUCCAUAUGCUAAAAGUUCAUAUAACACUUGCCAAAUAAAAAUGAAAUCAAAAUAAAGUUCUCAAUCCAUCAAGUAAUACAUAACUAACCAAGACAUUGAUAAAUCAAUUGAGCAAUCUGUUAUCUAACUCAAAAUAAGAAUUUCUACUAAGCCAAUCAAUUUCCAAAUCGAUUUCCUGAAGGUUUUUAGUGAAAUUUGAACUCUGGGCUUAAUUCAAUCGAUUGGGCAAUCGAUUGACAGAAUAGCUGAGCCACUGACUUAAUGCCAAUCGAUUUCCAAAUCGAUUUUCACAGGGUUUACCCCUUUUGAGGUGGUGUAUGGCAGGAGACCUCCAGUAUUGGUGCAUUUUUUGGAGGGAGAAACCAGAGUAGAAGCUGUAGCCCAGGAGUUAAGAGACAGGGAUGAAGCUUUGCGUCAAUUGAAAGCUAAUUUACUCAAAGCUCAAGAGUACAUGAAAUACCAAGCUGAUAAAAAACGCAAGGCAGUUCAAUUUGAGAUUGGUGAUUGGGUUUUCCUCAAAUUACGUCCCCAUCGACAGCAAUCGGUGGUGCAUAGAAUUCAUCAAAAAUUGGCUCCCAGAUUUUUUGGUCCUUAUCAAGUCAUUAAGAAGAUAGGGCAGGUUGCUUACAAGCUACAGUUACCAGCAACAUCUAAAAUACAUCCUACUUUUCAUGUUUCUCUAUUGAAGAAAGCUGUAGGCAAUUAUACUGCUACAACUCAAUUACCUAGCAGUUUGGAGUCUGACACUGGGGAUAUUAUUCCUGCUAAGGUUUUGUCAUGGAGGGAUAAGUUUGAUGGUGGGCAGCAUAAGCGAGAAUGGUUGAUUCAAUGGGAAGGCAUGGAUGUCGGAGAUGCUACCUGGGAAGAGGAACUGCUGCUGAAGAGUCAAUUCCCUGAUUUGCGCCUUGAGGACAAGGCUACUGUUGAAGGUGGGGGUGAUGAUAGGAAUGGGCUGGGCCCCACAAGUGAUGAGGGGGAUCUCUUAGUAAAUAGAGAUGAGGUGGGGCCUAAGCAAUGGCAAGUAUAUGUGAGAAAGAAUAAGAAAGGGGAUGCAGAAAAAUAAUGAUUGCCUAGCUGGCAUAGGGAGUUAAUAUUCCACUAAUAAAUAGGAAUUAAUAUUCCACUAAUAAAGGGGAGUGUGUGCAGAGAUAGCUGGAUGGUUUUUUCAUUUUUCAGUUACACCUUAUAGGUUGGGCAGUAAGAGAAUUGUUUUCUCUAACUGAGGAGCAUUAGCUCUGGAAUCAUUUUCUGUUUUCUUAUCAAUUAAUACAAUAAUUCUUUUCAUCUAAUUCUAUCUUAUCUCUGCUCUAUCAACAGCUUUACUAAAUAACAAAGUCUAUUUCUUAUUUAAAGAAGAUCUAUAAGAAACACAAUAAUUGAAAGUAUAAAGAGAAUGUGUCAAACAAUAAGUUACUAGCACUCCUUGUAUUAGGUUCACAAACUUAUUCAGGAAUAUAUUAUAUAACAGAAAUAUCUUUCGAUUGAUUUCAUAUAUCUCUAAGAGUAGAAAUCUUGAUUUUAUUAUAAAGUACUUAGUUUUCACAAUGAAGCAGUAGACAGUGUUAUCAAGGGAGGAAAGUGGAUUAUGGCAGCCAUCCAAAAAUCCACCAUAUAGACAUAGCAUUGUGGACUAUGGAUAAUAUAUACGGUUUUGCGGCCUAUGUCUGCAGGCCUAAAAUCCUACAUGCUAUGACGCCCUGGUGCCACCAUGACAGAAAUUUGACAACACCAGUAGCCAGUAGGAAACAUUGUGUUUAGCAAACAUUUCUAACUACAGAGAAAUCAAUUACAAAUUUAUUUGCUAAAGAAUUAGAGUAAAAUAUAUUAGUUUGAAGCUCAAGUGAAAAGUCUAAAAAUUUCUGCAUAUUAAGACAUAGAAAUGCAGCACAAUGGGAAAUGACAAAUAAUUACCAACAAUAAACAAUCUAAACCAUCGUGCUAAAUAAGCAAUCAGAGACAUGAAUUUUUGUUUAGAAUUUAAGAGCACACAUGGCCCUUUUGUGAAAAGAGUUUUCAAGAUGUUAAUAGGAAUGGCAAUUAAACAAUAAUAUCGGUCAUUUUAAAAAGUUUACCCCCAACACAAAGAUUGCAGCAUUCAUCAAACAAAGACACAUCACUUACAGCAUUGGACGGAGAUGGCCAGCAAUGCAAAGCAGCACCAGCAUGAACAGCAUCAACUGAACCUGAUGCAAAGGGAAGCCUAGAAACAUCUGCCCUUACAAGGGCGAUAUUACUGCAAACAAUGAAAUGAAUUUUUAUUAAGCGCAACCACUUAUCCUCAAGCAAAGGGGAAACAUUGAAUUUGAAAUUCUUUAGCUGCAAUCAGAAUCAAGAAGAGGAUGAAAACAAUACGUGGAUGAAAGUGUGUCAUCUUUCUUAAUGAAAUCAUUGCAUUGGCGAAGCAUAUUUUCAGAAAAAUCUAGAGCAACGACUCCAGAAUAGGUUCCAGAAUUGGCAAACUUUCGGGAAAAUAAUCCGCUUCCACAGCUAACAUCGAUGAUCAGACCACCUUUAGCAGGUUCAAAGUACUCUUGAGCCAUUUUGAACUGCAUUAUAAAAAAAAUAAAAAGAGCUCAAUAUAUAUUAAAAUUUCACGAAAUAAUCUAAAAACGACAGAAACUUACAACCUCAGCUUCCUUUCUGUAAUGUAUGUGUAUAAACAAAGUGGUUUUGUUACAAAUCUAGAGAAAAAGAAAUCAGAAACAAAGUUUCCCAUUUCUAUAAACUAUAAAGGAUUACUCCUUCCACAAACUCUCCAAUAUACAGAGUGUCCCCCCUCCCAUCUAUUCUGAUUUUCCCUAUUUAUACAAAUAUCCACUUCAACUACUCAAUUUCUUUAACUGUUCUCUAACUGCCCCUAAAUUCUAACAGGUUAUUAUGUCUACCAAAACACAUUUUGGAGUUUGGACAAUAACCAUGAAUAUUGUUCAAGUAUUACUGUUGGAACAUUACAACUGCAGUACUGGCACAGAAAGCGUACCUCUUCUUCAGGACCAGGAAAGCCACUUUGCCUGAAAUUCUGACGCCAACCUCUUUCAUAUAAGAAUGAAACAAGAGGACUCCUAAUAAAGGUUUAUACACAGUGAGAAUUUAAGAGCUUUCCCAAAUAAAUGGACCACGCAGAAAACUGAACCAGAUUACAACUUGCGUCACAUAUGUUAAACAAUUAUUCAUAUAAAUAAAUUAAAAUGUCUCCUCAAAUCACGAAAAAAAUGGAAAACGGAUAUUUUAAAGGUAGCUAUAAUAUUACUGGUAUGUGCCUCAUGUGAUAAUAGUUUCUCAUCAAGUAUACAUAACUAACAUGAAUAACAUAAUAUCAUGAGAUCAUCAAUGACAAGCUAAUGCCAUGAAAUUAGAGACCAAUUUAUUUUCUAUUGAUACCUAAAAAGUUCAGUCCGAACUGGUUGAACUUCAGUGUAAUCUCUUAACCCAGAAGUCACUGUCAAAUCCAGAUACCCAUCUUUGCUGGUGUAUGCUUUUUGACAUCUCUUACACUUGAAACCAGACCUGUAGAUUGCUGAUCUGAAGAUGCAGAACCAUUAAAUAAAUUACUAUAAUUUAGAUACAUAAAAAUUAGAUACACCUUCCCUCAUGCAUAUCAAUCCAACUUACAAGUUAAAGCCAACAGGACCUUUUCUUAUCAAUGGUUCAUAACAUAUCGGACAUGCGAAUAAGUCGACUUGUGUAUUCAGAUCGUGCUGCGUGGUUAAAUCCUGAAGGAAAAAUUAGCAAUAGUAGUGAUAUAAGUUUGAGCUUUUUGUUAAUGGACCUAACACAAAUUCAUACAAGCAAAAUAGAUAUAACUUGUUGAAUUUACCGCAUUACCAAAAUCUUCAGUUUUUUCAUAACAAAAUAUCAAUGUACUUAAAGACAUUGCAUUGAAAAAGCACCUCAUGAAUUAAACUAGCAAAUCUUUAACUCCAAGCGUUGGCAUAAACUAUUUUCAGCUUAUUUUCAUAAGCUCCUCAAGAUAGCUUUUGAAAACAGCUUUUAACUAAUAGGAAACAGUUUGACUUCAUUAUAUAAGCUAAUUUUCCUAUCAUUAAAAAACCUAAAAAUUUUAUACACUAAUACUAUACUUCUAACAGAACAGAGGGCUAAACGUUAACAGAGUGGAUAAACUAAACUAAAAAACAUUCAAUUAUAUAAGCUUAUAAUUUGAUGAAAAGAUCAAUCCAGUUUAAUUUCUUAAUUCUUAAAAGAGGAGUUUGGGUAUAACAUUAAAUAGAGAAAAUGAAAAGGAGCAGAACACUAUACCGACUCCACAACAACAGCAGCAGAGGUGGCACGAAUUGUGGUUCUUUGGGUUUGAUGGGAGCGAAGGAGCUGAAGGCGAAACUGUGAUUCAGAAGAAAGGUGAGGGCAUUUGGGGAAUUCUAUUCGAUAAAGAGGGCGAAGGAAAUUAGAGGCAGCGGUAGCAGCAGACACGGCCAUGGUCUUAGAAGGGAGAAUUGGCGCAAUCAGCUAAGCGUGCCAGAUGAUCACUCGCUCGCACUCCUCUUUCUCCCCAACUGUGUCCCCUUGUGAGCCGCAAAAUUAAAUACGGUAAACAAUAACAAAACCAUUUUUAUAAAAAAUUAAAAGGUUUGAAUAAGUUUUUGAUAUUGUAAAUAUUUCAUAUUUUCGAUGUUUCACAAUAAAUGUGAUUUUAGUAAGAAAAAUAUUUUAAAAUAAAAUUAUUUAUAAUUUUCAAUGUAAUGUAGUUAAUUUUUUUCUUAUACCACUCUUUAAUUAUUAUUAUAUAUACAAUUUUUAAAAUAUUUUUAUAUUUUGCAUUAAUAAAAGUGAAAAAUUCACCAAUAAUUAAGAUGAAUAAUUUUAUAAAAUUAGUUUUUUUUUUCUUUCUUUCUAAUGAUUGUAUUUUUUAAUGUGUGGAAAAAAUUUAAAUAAUAUUUAUUAUGAAAUAGAAGAAGUAUUUCGUUUUUAAUCCCUUUAAAAAAAAUUCGUCAAUAAUUUUGGUAGUUGUUUUUAAAUCAAGUCAAUCUAUAUUGUCAAAAAAUUUAAAUUAUUUUGUACGUGUAUGUUCAGAACAUUAUAAAAAAAAUUUAUACAAAAUUUUAUAAUCUUUAACAAAGGGAGAAUUAAAUAUGAUUUUAUUAGUUUUUGGCACUUAAAAUUUAUAUUUAUUUCAUUAAUUACUAAAAAAUUAUAUGUUUUUGUAGAUGAUAUUCUUAUAAUAUUCUAAACAUAUCUACAAAAAAUUAUUUAAAAUUUGAAUGAUAAACAUGAGUUAACUUUAAAAUAGGGACUAAAAUUAUUGAUGUAAAACAAUAAAACGACUAUUGCUUGAAGAAUUUUUUUUGAAGAACUAUGCACGAAAUAUAAUAUAUUUAUAAGGACAAAAAACUUACAUAAUCCAAACUUAAAAUAUGAAUUUAAUUUGAAUGCACAUUUAUAGUAUUUAUAGUGUUUGUAAACAUUCUAAGACCCAUUGUUGGACAUUAUAGGUGAAUUCAUUCAUGCACCACUUUUAUAAGUGGUCUAUGACAUGUUAAUAUUUUAAAAUUAUCAACAACAAAAAAACUAUGAUUGACAAUAUUUUUUAGCAGUAAUAACUCAUAUGCUCCUCAUCUUUAUAAAUAAAAUUGUGAACCAAUUGAGAUCGAUUUAAUACACGAUAUAUAUUUAUUAUUUUUAUUUUAAUAAAAUUCGUAUAUUUUAAGUCACAUUGAUCUAUAUUAAAAUUUGUCUAUAUUAAAUUAUUUAUUUAAAAUAAGACUAGUUUUAUUGCUGGGAGGAGUGCGAUUGACAAUACUAUUAUUUCAUGAAUAUAAUUCAUGAACUGAGUUCGCAUACGUUAUCGGAAUUUGAAAACUGAUUCACAUACGUGAACUCAGUUUACGUACGUUACUGGGUUUUUGAAAAUGAGUUUGCGUACGUGAACUGAGUUCACAUACGUUUCUGGGUUUAGGGCAACGAAGGUUUUCUUCAUCCUCAAAAAUAGAAACUUUUUUUCUUCAAUUUUCAGGCAUUGCAUUCAUAAACAGAGACAACAAAACAACAAAAUACAAAAAAAACACAACAAAAACAAAGGUUGAUGAUUACUUACUUGAUUCACAACAGUGAUGGUAACUUGAUGAAGUUGGUUGAUAUGAUUAACGAAGAUGGUUGAUGAUGAUUGAUGAAGAUGUUGAAGAUGGUUGAUAAUGAUUGAAGAAAAUGAAGAAAAUAAAGAAGAUGAACAAUGUGUUGAAUGAAGAUGAUGAAUAUAGAAUGAAGAGGAAGAAAAUGAGUUAUGUUAAUGAAGAGAAAGAUGAUGAAUAUAGAAUGAAGAGGAAGAAGAUGAGUUAUGUUAGUGAAGAGGAAGAAGAUGGAUUAUGUUAAUGAAGAGGAAGAAGAUUGAAAUAAAAGGAAGGGUAAUUUGGACAUUUGGAUUUUUUUAAAACAUUUGAGGGGUGUGGGUAAUAAUUUAGGGGGUGCUGGUGGCAAAAUUGUUACCUUUAUAUGGUUGGCCAUAUCACUCUUGUUCAAAGAUAUAUUGUGUCUUCUAAAUUAUGUAAUGUAAUUCAUUGUCAUCCAUAUGGUUAUCUGUGACGAAGUUGAACGUCUUUGGAGAGAUUUUGUUUGGAGAUCCACUUCUAAGACAACUUGUGAAAAUACUACAAGUUGUUUCAACACAAUACAUUUAAAGUGAAAAAGAAUAAAUUUGAAGUCUCUACAUAACAUCGAGGGCCCUAUAUUCAAGGUGCAAGUCCAUUUAAUAUAAGAAAAGAUAAAAGAGAAAUACAAUUUGUGAGAUAUAUUUAAAAGUUAUUUAUAUGUUAUUAUACUAUAUAAAUAUGUGUGGUAUACAUGGGUGCUCGGAAGGAGAGAAAUGGAAGGAAGUGGAGGGGGAGGGAUGAGAGAAAGUUUGUUUUUAGAAAUAAUAAUAGGUUGAGAAAUCUACGGGCCACCCCACCAAAGCAUAUGAAAAUAUGAUUUUGGCGUCCUUUUUAACUCUAUGCAAAAAAAGUUUUGAACAGUUGAUGUUGGAAAUGAUGAUGCUUUUAAUGAAAAGUUCGUUGGAAAUAAUGAUGACAUUUAUGAGAGCUAGUGUUAUUAUGAAUUGAAAAAAUUGAGAAGUCCCAUAUUGGAGGGAUACCUCACACUAGUAGGGUAUAUAAGGUGGAGGUAAUGAACUUGGAAAGGGCCCCAAGGGGCACCCCAAUUUUGUGAAGGAGGGAGUACGCAAGCAAUAUUGACCACCACACACGCGCGCGCGCCGCCGCCGGCCCGGCUUGCUUGGUUUGGCUUUGGCUUUGGCUUUGUGGUGUAUUAUUAUAUUUUUCUUUAAAAUUAAUUAAUCAUUUUAAUUGACUGAUUGCUUGCGUUCUAUCUCUGAAACGUUAAUUACGUAACUGCCCCCCACCGAGUCAUAUCUGAUCCAGUCUCCCUCCCUGAAUUCGUGCGUCUGUUUUGCCCGGUCAAAACCCUAAUCUUUGGUCUCACGUUUCCUUGUUGUCCGGUCAAAAGUCAGAGUAAAAUUCCUGAGUUUGGGCCACACGUUUUGGGGGCUUGGAGCGCACGUUUCUAAGGGCACUACUUGGAGCGCACGUUCUGGUGAUCCAUGGAUUUCUCAGAUCCAGUUGCGGAUUUCCCCUAUAAAUAUAGGGUUCUCCCCAGUUAGAAAAUCACACCAAAAGCUCUCCGUAUCUGAGGUUUUUCUCUCUUCUCCCCCUUCUUACUGCUUCAUCUCUUUCUUCUCUUUCGAGUGGUCAUUGUGCCAUAUUACGAGUGUCAGUCGUAAGACUGCUAUAUUGAGGGUGUAAUUCUAGAACAGUUUUCUACAGUGCAGGAGAACUCCGAUACAGAGUAUCUGGGCUGUUUUAUCCUGGGGACUUCGGGGUUGAUAGUCUGCCUUGCACAAUUUUGGGCAGUGCCUCGAAACGUCUUAAAGAGAGUGACCUAGUCCGCGACUCAACCCAGUAAUAUUUCCGGUGGCAUAAAUUGUUUUUAAAGGUUUUCGAAUUUCAAAAACAACAGUUGAUAUGUAAAUAUUUCUGAAAAAUUGGUUCUAUAUAUAUAAACUUUUUUUAUGGAAUGCAAAAGCUUUGGAAUAUAAAGUGAGUAUGUUUUCGGAAAUUUUUUAAUGUUUCAUAGUUUUGAAACUUUCUAAACACAUGUUUUAAAUGUUUUUUUUAGACAUUUUGGAAAGUUAAUGUAUUCAAAACCUUCAAACUGCAAUAUUUUUAGAGCAUUCAAACUUUCACAACGUGUUUUUCUCGUAAAUUUUAAAAGAAAAACAUUAAAAAUGUUUUUUUUUUUUCAUUUAGAAAGUUUACAUGAAUGUUAAAGUUUUGGCAAUCCGGAUGAAGCUGAAAGUUUCAAAAUGAAAAAAAAAUUAAUUUUAAAAAUUCGUUAAUUUUCUUAGAUUAUAUUUUUUUACGAUAUAUAUGUUAGACUUAAUUAUAAUUUUGAUCUCUCUAUUUUUAUCAAUUUAUGAAAUUGAUUCAUCUAUUUUAAAAAUCGACAAUUUUGGUCCUUCUAUCAGAAUUUUGAACUAAAAAAUAAUAAUUUGAUGUAUUUUAAAUAAUGUGAGAUACAGUUUCAUAAUAUAGAACCCUCUAAAUGUAUUAAUUAUUUAUAUGUCAUUAAUUAAAUUACAAAUAUGAAAAAUUUCUAAAGUUGAAAGUUAAGUUUUUAGAGUGUUUAAUUUCAAAGUGUUUAUUAUUCUACAUUUUUGUAUUAUAUGACCUCUUAUUUAAAACAUGUCAUGUCACCGGUUUUUAGUUAAAAAAAUCAUAGGGAGAGACCAAAAUUGUCGACUUUCAAAAUAAGAAGAUCAAUUUCCUGAAUCAAUAAAAAUAAGGGACUAAAAUUAUAAUUAAGCUUAUAUAUUAAUUAAAUUUGGUUUAUUUUAUAACAAAUAUGUUUUAUCAAAUUGAAUAAGGUAUGAGUGGAGUUGUUAGUGAAAUCUCUAUUAUACAUAUUUUUUUCUUCUGUAGAUUCUACUGAUAAAUUAACUACUGACUAAGUAUUCUUAUUAUUAAUUGAUGUUAUUAUUUUUUAAUGUACAGAUAUAAGUUGAGUUAUUGCCUUAAAUACAUUUUUCAGAUACUUUCCAACCGUGAAGUGGUGUUCGAAUGGACAAAAGUAGUUUGAAGGUAAAAUGGAAUAAUAUCAGUUACCAUUAGGGCUCACACAACUAUGAGACAAAGUGGAAGGUGUGCCACAUUAAUUUUGGAUUGUGAAAUAGGUAGAAGGUAUAAAGUACAAUUAAAAUCAACAAUAAUUUGUUCUCACAAAUAUAAAUAUCCAUUCAAACUCAUAUCGAUACCAUUGAGGAUUGAUGAAUGAUGAAAAAGUUAGUGUUUGAUGUGGAACAACCAAUCAUGAUUCAACAUGUAUUUUAGGUGAUCAUUCAUAUAUGGAGCUUUUAAAUGCAGAUGAGAGAAAUUUUUUAAUGACAUGCCAAAGUACAACUGAUAUCAAGAUUCAUUUUGACUGUGUUGAAUUAUCAAAAUAAAAAUCUCACUGAUAACCACCCAAAUGUAUAAGAAACAAAGUACUUAUCAAUCUUCUUUUAGAGAUUUCUACACAUAAACUUAGUAGCUAUUGAAGUUAAUACAAAGUGAAAAGUAUGUGCAUUGAGCAAAAAGAUCGAAGGAUUUGGAGGCUGUGAGUGACAUAUUUUAAACACAUCCUAAAUAUAUAAAGUUGUUGAACAUGUUUCAUUUGGUUUUGAUAUGUGACAUCACAUACAACAUAAAUAAAUACUAGCUACCAUUGCUUGAAAUUAUCAUAUAAGAUUAUGUUGAAGAUUUUCAUAGGAAGUUUCUAGAAAUAACUUACUUGUAUUUAAGAUAGUUUAUA
This 54749-nucleotide long non-coding RNA is filed under the name Cicer arietinum (chickpea). RNAcentral's name for it is "long non-coding RNA (CARI_LNC000262)". The record is from RNAcentral. Lineage: Eukaryota; Viridiplantae; Streptophyta; Magnoliopsida; Fabales; Fabaceae.